GCAUUAAGGACCGUCAACAAGCUCCCCCAAGCUUAACCUUUGCUCGUCCCUAAGCAAAGAUGAACUCAAGAAUUUCUGCAGUGGUUUCAAUACAUGCGUUCAAACAAGAUCUCAUCUCUGGGUUAGGGUAAACUGUUAAGAUUUAAAUUUACUCACUUUCCUUCCACCAUGGGGCUUGCAACUGUCACUUGUGUCUUGAGUAGUUAAAAGAUAGAACGGUCUAGUCAAGCGCCAUGUCUCUUGUUCUUCGAUUAACUAUAGCUCUGGAGUUUUUGCAGAUUUUCAAAUAAAACUCAGAGAUUCCUUGUAUGACUCUCUCUAGUCUCUCUUUUGUGGUAUUUCUGGAUCCUUACCAAGGCAGUGAUGGUAUAUGCCUUCUCUCAAAGUAUGUGGUAUUUGUGGUAUAAGGCAUAGUGGCAUUGCCUUCUCUCUCACCCUACUCUAAUAAGGUUUUGAUAUCUGGAGCUCAUAGGUGGGAGACAGCUAAUACAUACUUACAAGACAUUUAUUGCAUAGUCAAACCAUGGAUCCAGAAGAACAAGUCAAUAAGUCAAAUCAAGAUGUGCAUGUGUGGCCAAUGAAUGGUGUAUGGUGAUGAUGGCGAUAACAAUAGUGAAAGUCUAAUUCUACUUGUGCUCUUUUGAGGGGAUACAUACCUUUCUUGCUCUUUUGAAACUUUUUGAGAAGAAUGAGAUGCUCUAUUUUCUCUCUUUUUUUUUCUUUUCUCUCAGGUGGGUAUCUUGUACCCCUAAUUCUACUAUCGGACACUUGUCUAUUUUUACCCCUCGUCUCACUUUUUCUUUUCUUUCGAGGUUCCGGGCACUUGCCCCUUUUUAUUUCCUCGUAUUCACUUUUUUUCUCUCUCUCUUCUUUUUUUAGAGCACUCAUCUCAUGAGAUAAUAUAGCAAGUGGUAGUAACAAGAUAACUUGAGCAUUUAUUUCACAGGGGAAAACAGAAAUGUUUUUGGCUAUUCUCUCCCGGAUUAGGAGUAGAAUAUUUUUGGGUGGUUCUGAAGAUGGAAAUGGGUGGAUAUAUGUGGAUGCGUACUUCUGGAGUAGAAGCAGCAUGUGUGAGUGAACGUGCAAGUGAAUCUUGACUUAACCACAUGACAAGCUCCUAAGGGUCUACACAGCUUGACCACACUCAAUGCUCAUAAGCGGUGAAAAGUAAAUGUAUGGCUUAAAGUUUAGCAAGCAUGUAUAUAUGGUUGUGGUAGGAAUUUAAACUCUCAUCAUACAGGAACUCAUCAUGCAACAUUUUAAAGAUUUUCAAAGAUAAAAUUCUCUAGAAUUCUAGCAUCUCUAGGAACAGAUAAACAGCAGCUCAACCUUCCCAUAUCGUAUCCGUUAACGUCUUAGACUUUAGAUCAAGUACUCUUCCCACAAGUUCAGGUUUAGAGCAAAUCUUAAUUAAUAACAGUCAUGCCUAAACUUGAGAGAGAUUUCAAUUUUGAGAACUAGUCAUGGCAGAGCAACUAUUCAUCAUUUCCAUGUGAGAGCUUAUCAUGAUGGUUCAUAGCAAACUUUAAUUAUUUAUUUAUUUAGCAAACUAAGCGAAGAUAUAUAAGCACAAACUCUUUAUUUGGGUUUUUAUGAUUAUGCAUCUUUUUAUUAUUUGAGUAAAGUAUAAACGUGAGUAGAAACACUUAGCUGGAUAAAUGGGAGUGCUCUCCCCCAAGCUGGAUUUUGACGAAGUUUCUUCUGAUGUAGCUAGCAGGUGGCGGAGGUGUAUUUGAAUGUCAGCAGCACCCUGACAGUGAUUAGGAUGUCCUCCGUCUACUAGUCUUCUUUGAUCCUUGAAUUCUGUGGAGCUCAAAUAGACAACAAAGCUUUGUGGAACUAGUUAAGUGUUAGCAUAAAUAUCUAGCCUUUAUCAUGUUGAGCCUCCUUAAUAAAUGUUACUCUCUUUAGUAGGAUCAUAAAUCUAUUUUUAUAUUUCCAUUUUUAUAAGACAGGAAUAUAUUUAUUUUAUUUUUAUGCCACCACAGUGAAUGUACUUAUGGGUUUUAUGCCAUGAGCAUACUCACAUGGGGCUUACUAUUUUUAACAUUUUUAUUUUCUUUUUCAAGAUGAUAUGAACCUGAUUAACUAAGCAAACUAUUUUAAAAUAAUUGAAAGGAAAAGGAUAACUACCAAGUUUACCUCUUGGCAAGGCGUUCGGUGCUUUUAAGUCCUCCGAACGGGACUCUCCGUUUUCUCAGUCGUCCUGGGAUUGGCUGGAUGGCGUAGUCAGUGGUUCCGGUGGAGCCUGCUCUUCAUGUAUAACUAUCUUUUUUCUCCACACCUGACUCGAUGCUACGGUCUCCUCAGGACAGUUCUGUUCAAGUUAUAUGUCUUCAGACCUUACAACUUCUCCAUCAUAGUCUACCCAUCCAUCCUUGAUGAUUUUGCCUUCUCUGGUUACGGUUGCGUCGUUUUCUUCUUGUCCUGACCUGCUUAGAAUCUUCAACUAUAUAGUUAGGGUCAGUAAAAUAGCGGCAUACCUUGUUAGAGGGGAAGUGCAUGUGGACUUCUCUGGUUCCAAUCUAGAUGAUUGCUUUAACAGUGCUGAGGAACGGUCUUCCAAGGAUGAUGGGUGGAUCGUGCUCGUCUUCUCCCAUGUCAAUAACCUUCAACCUUUCGGAAUGUCUGAUCUUCCAUCUAGAGCUAAAUGUAUAUCGGUUUUAGGGGUAUGGUUCCGAACAGGAGUUGAUAGGUGACUACGGCCAUUAUGUUGACGCUUGACCUGGUGUCGCAAAGCGUCUUGUGGAAGUUGUAUCUAUUAAUGGAGCACUGGAUGCUUGGGAUACCAGAGUCAUCCUUUUUGGUCAGGGACGGUGAUUUAAGUCGACGAUCUUGACCUCCUUGAACUGCAGUGACCAUCUUAGCUGACUUGGUCCACAUUUGCUUGUUCUUGUCCCUCCUGUUGGUCCUCUUCCUUGGUUCAUGUAGGGAUUGCUCUGAGAUUUGUGUAGUCUUGUUCUUGAAGGAAAACGUCUCCUUCCUUCCCUUGAUGUAGAAACUGAUCUUGGCAGCACUAAUGUACAUGAUAGCUCCCGAGGUGUUCAGGAAUGGCCUCCCUAAGAUGACGGGUGCCCUCUCAUCAGUACCAGUCUCUAUCACCACGAAGUCUGCUGGAGCAUAUAAGGUACCAACUCGGACGUAGAGGAUCUUCAAUAUUCCCUUUGGGAAACUUAGUGUCCGAUCUGCAAGCUGCAAACACAUGGCUGUUUCUAAUAAAGGAUGUGUAAAGAAUUUUUCAUAGAGUACCCUGUGCAUAAUGUUGACGCUGGAGCCAAAGUCACAGAGUGCUUCUGGGAAGUCCACCAUGCCGAUGGAGAUCGGGAUGACGGGGCGUCCUGGAUUGCCUCUCUUGACCGGCAGAAGGUCAGUAAUUACUUCCACAAUAGUGUUACUCUAGAAGUUACGUCCUUAAGCAUCUCAGGGCAGUGAUUGCCUGACUGUCCAGUAUCUCCAGUGUGUUUGUGCUCGUAGAUCUAGGUUCUUCACUUGGUGGAGUCUGGGAGUUGUAAAACUCCUUCAUAUUUUGCUCGAAGUGUACCUGCUUAUAGAGACAAGGCAGAGAUCAAGUGCAUGGGCCCUGUUGGUGGAAAACACCAACAGAACCAAAAGUGUAUUUGUUCUUCUCUAACCUUAAGCAUAGUGAGCAAGACAAAGUUGAUGGAUAAUAAAAUCAUGAUUGUAGCAUUUAAAACAUUUGUCAGAUCCGAUCGCUCAACCUAAUGGAAAGAUAAUCUAUCUAUAUUUAUGUUGUUUUUUUAUGAAAUAUAUCUUCCAAAGAUUGAGUGUGCAACAUUUUAGGUCAUAUGAUUAGGAGUGUGGGCUCACAAAGGUAGAAGGACUAAACAUAUUGAAUCGAUUGGGUUGGUUAAUCUAGAGUUGUAAAUCAUACAUGUUUGUCUCUUUUAUCCAUGUGAAUGCUAGAAAUAAGGAGAAGCUUAUAGAAGUGAUAGUCAAGUACCUUAAGAUGUUACCUUACUUGAAGAGUGAUGGUACAGUAUCACCUUGUGGAAGCUUUCCUCUCUUAGCGGUUGUGCAUCGUGUUUGUGGCACCCUCCAUGGAUCAUCUCUUGUGAGCUAUGUCUUCCUUGUGUAAAUUGUUAACCUUCAUGCAUCUCUCUCUUUGUCUCCAAUGUGAGUUUAUCUCAGGACUUCGCAGGUCGAUAUUGAAAGUUUUCCUACAGGGGUUAGUCCAACAAAAUAUCCAAUAUCUACUAUAGCAUACUAUCGGCUCAAAAAUCAACCUAGACACCAUGUCUAAUUUGAUUUAGGAGGGAAUUUUAACCUAAGCAUCAUGCUUAAUUUAAAAUCCUUUGGAAGUAAGAUCAUCAUUCCUAAACUAAGCACCAUGCUUAAUUAAGAGAUAAAUGAAACUACUCCAACCUAGACAUAUACUAAAGCAAAUAAAGGUACCAUGAGAGCAUUUAUAGAGAUCUACUCAAGUGGAGAUGAAGUAGUGUGAUUAGUAUUUAACAAAUUGAGCAUGUCUCAAAGGUAGGGACAACCAACAUAGCAACAUGGCAAAGGAUGUUUUUAUGUAAAGUACUCCCCCAAGCUUGAAUUUUGCAAAAUUCAAGUUUGGAUGAAUUUAAUUCAAUGUUGUAUGAUGAUUGGUUGUACAUACCUUGUGCUUGUCAUUCAUCUGAUCUUCUUGCUCCAAUCCUGGAAAUGUUAGUGACAAGAAUACCCAAAGGAAUAUUUUUACAAUUAUCCUGAUAUGCUCAACACACAAGGUAAUGUUGCAAAUAAUUAAAAGUUUAUGUUAUGGUCUGAUCAGUGCUUAUUUUAGGACGCUAAGCUUGUCCUUGGGAAACCAUCAAUUUAUGUCAGUGAAGUGGUUUCCCCUCCAACGCUGACCUAUAUCAAGAUCAACUCAACGAGAUCUGCAAAAUUUAUUAUAGACAUAUGCAUCGACAACCGCCCUUUUAAAGUUUUUAUGAAUAGAAAGGAAGAGGGGGUUGGAGAUCUCGAAUGUGGUGAUGUUGGAGAGACCAAUGGAUUGUGAAGAUGUUGCAUAUGAGCAUGGAGUAAGUGAAGUGGCUAUGAAAUAAAUUCCAUGCUCAUUAAUGCUUAGAGUGAAAUCCAUGUGGUAUGGUGAAAGUGAUAAGGUGAGUGUGGUAAAAAAGGAAAAGAAAAAGGAUACACGGAUGACUUGGUUUGAAACUAGCACAGCUACCGUUCCCCGGCAACGGCGCCAGAAAGCUUGUUGGGUAUUUUAAACGCAAACAGAAAAAUCCGCAAGCACACGGAUACCGAUGUAGCUUUCACCCGGGAGUAUUCCAGAGUAUCGAUUUUCCACAGAGAACAUGAGUGUACUAAUUAAGAUCCAAAAUCACCCAAGGAUAACUAUAUAAUUAUUUUUGGUGGGAAGAGAGGAAGUUUCCUGAGAGUUCUCUAGUUGAUCUAAGAAUCAAGAAUUACUUCAAGAUUAUCUAUAUCGGGACGUCAGAGCAGUAACCACAGAAAGAGAUGAGAAGGGGGCUAGGAAGGUCUGACUACGGUCCUACAAACACCGAUCCGAACGUGGUGGAAUACGUCAACCGUUAGGGCUGUCACUACCCUAGGGCUACCACAACAAUCCGCAGGAUUGGGUGCAAUUCCAGGUAAUUGCAAGACUAAACACCACGUCUAAUCUAUUAAUUACUACUCUAGCGUUAUAAAGACUAGAGCACUUGAUGCAAGCAGGAAUCCAAUAAAUAACUUGAAUGUAAAUAAAAGUAAUUAAAGAACUCAGGAUUAUGAAUUGAAGAACCUGGAGAACGAUGAAGAACGAACCAGAUGCUACAAAAGUAUAAUGUUGAGGAAGAUCCGACAGAUCCGGCUCCUCCUCCGCUCUCCUCUUCUCUCUCCCUAUUUUCUAGAUUACAACUAGAACUAACUAGAACUAGAACUAGAGGAACUAGAACUAGAACUAGAUGAACUAGAACUAGAACUAGAUGAACUAGAGGUAGAACUAGAAGAACUAGAGGGAUCCUCUCUACUUGGAUGAAGAAUUGAAACCCUAACUUUGAUUCUGUAGAAGAGGUAUGCUCUCCAGGGGCCAGGGGGCCUUGCUUAUAUAGUCUUUUCAGAUGAAUCUGGGCCGUCGAAUCGAACCGACAUUAAUCGCACGGUUUUCCUUGGUUCCUUAGGUCGGUGGAGCACGAUCCGCGAAGUUGAAGCUGAUUGGUUACUGUAGCUGGGCGGGCACCCAAGGGACUUGGGCGGGCGCCCUGCCCCCGGGCCCGAUUGGCCUCCCGUUCGUUCCCGUGGCUUCUAGAGUCUUCUAGAUGGUAGAAAAUUGCACGGCACGUUAAUAUCUCUAUGUAAACCCGACGUGUGGACCUUUCUUUCAUAUUUCCUGAUAACCCCCUGCAGAAAUAGACAAACACCAAAACUCGUGGAAUUCUGUCAGAUAAAACCCUAAGUCUAGGUGUUGGCUGCAUAUAAGUCUUUUUCCAUGAUUAGUUGAUGCUUAAAUGUGAGCAUUAUGGACCGUCAACAAUGGGUCGAUCCAUGACAGUUUAAGUGUCGAUAACACCCCUAUCGGCUGGAUUAAAAUGUAUCCGGGACUGAGUAUGAUGUUUUUUUAAAAGAGAUAGAUGCCAAUAACAGUCCUAUAGGCUAGACCAAAAUAAUUAGAAGUUUCUGAAGGCAGAACAAAACAUGUCGCCGAUGAAGAGCUUAUACAUUUAGGAGAGCUUGGAUAGUCGAUAUGGCACGCAGAUGGAUUUGAUCGGCUUCUUCUAUCUCUUUGAUGUCUUCAUCGGUAGAGCCCUCCACUGGCUUCAACUUCUUCUUCAUCUGCAAUGCUUUGCGGGCUUGGAUGUUUCGUUCUUGCUAGAGAGUCUUGAUCAUUUCGGGCAGUUGACUUUCCUCUUGCUGAGCUUGAGAGAGGGCCACUUCUACUUGCUUGAGCUCUGCCAAUAGGGCUUCCCUUUUUGCCGACAGAUCGGAAAUCUUCUGCAUUAAUGUCUCCACUGAGGACUGUAGGAUGCCAAUGCUCUUGUGCUUCUAAUCGGCAAGGCGUUUCACUUGCAUUACCUCCUCUGAGAGUUGGGCAUGGGUGGCUCUAUCGGUGAGGCGUUGGGUGGCCUUUUGGUACUGAAGCUGACGGCUCUCCAAGUUUGCAGCCUGGAAGAGGAUUUCUUCAGCGUCGGCGGGGAUUUGACCUCUGAGAGCUUUGAAUAGAGUUUUGGCUGGGUCAGAGUCAUCAACUAAUUGAGCAGUGUCCUGAUGAAGUACGGCCAACAGAUCUUCUAGCUUUGCUCUGAUUUCUGCCGAUGAAAUCCCCACUGCUUGGGAAGAGCUUGCUUCCUCGCCUUCGUCAUUAGAAAUUUCGAUGGCAAAGGAAAACAAGCUAUCCGGAGAGUCUUGUUCCUGGAGAAAAAAUAAGAUAAGUUAUUUGGUGAUCAAGUAUUAGUAAUGUGAAAGAUAGAGAUCAAAUGAUUUCCUUGUUUCAGAGCUAUCUCUCGCCUCUGGCUAGUUGAGACCGAUGGUAUCACAGUUUGAUCGGCUGGUGUUGCCGAUGGCACAAUAUCAGCUGAAAAAUUAAUAAAGAUAAUUAUAAGUUGGAAAAAUAAAUCCAUCGGCAAUGAUUUCGUAGACAGUACUUUACCUUGAGGGGGUGCAGUGCUUAUCUGAAUUGAGGAGACUACCGAUGCUAUGAUUGAACCCACUGGAUCGGCAGUCUGCUCACGUACAUCGGCUGAUGUCUCUUCUGGCUGCGGUGCUUCUUGCGGCUGAGGUGGAGAUGGUGCUUGCUAUAUCUGAACUUCUGGUUAUGAAGGGGACGAUUCCACAUGAAUCGGUGACCCUGGAGGAGGAGGAGGAGGCGCUGUUGUCUUCUGGCGUUUUUCUUGUGACUUGGUGUUUUUGGGGCCUUUUCUCUUUACCUUGCUAGACUCGGGGGCAUCGACACUCGCCUUGGUACUUCUGUUCUUUACCGAUCUGCCAGUUUGCUGAUGCAACAACGAAAGUUUCAUAAGUACAAAUGUAACAGAGCAUUGAUGAAAUUUUGGUUGAGUUAAUGAAAGUUACCGAUGAAGUUCCCAUGGCAGCCGAUGUAUCCUGAAAAGGCUGUGUAAGUAUUGAAUGGAAUCGGUAUAAAUUGAAGAAGUCAAGAGUUUACCUUGAAAGCUUGUGCCAAAGCAGCAGCUGCGACUGAUGGAGAUGUCUUGGCUCGUUUAGUGGUGACCUUCUUGAAGCGCACGUUCCGGUGCAUUAAAGCCGCCAAGCUUGGUGCAUUGUUGCCGAUCAGAGAGAUCGGGCCCGAUGGGAGCAGUUCGAUCGGCUUUCCGCUCCUGCUGACUGUCGGUGGUGUAUCAUCGACCUGCUUAAAAGGGAGGAAGUAAGUUACUAAUAAAAAUAAAAGCAAUAGAAGGAUUGAGGCAUCGGUUGCAGACUUAUAGUGUUCUCGGGGACUUUGUACUUGGGGUCGAUCAUACCGCGGUAUGUAAGGGCCGAUCUGCAGAACAGGUGCUCUUUCUACUCCGUCCACCACUGUUUGUAUGCCUGGGUGAUGAAGAGAGCUAGGAUCCAAGCCGAUAAAUCAAUGUCUGAUGUAUCGGCAUUUGGUGGGAGUUGAGCUAUUCUGAUCCACUCAAGACCACUGGUGAUGACCUCCCUUGGCUUCACCACAUCGGCGUAGCAGAGUGCAAUCGGUAGCUGUCCAAAGGCCAGCUGACGGGCCAAUGCCAAUGGGUUGUAGAACUCAUAGGUGAGAUUGGAGGCCUUUCCACUACUGAAGAAGUUUACCGGUAUAGCUCUCGGAGUGAUAAUUGCCAUCAUCAGAUCGUGGUCCUUGUUGAGGGCAUUGUCGAAGGGGUGGAAAGUGAGUGGGAAUCUGGUCUCUGUAUCCUCAUAGGGCAUCCAUGCCCGCUGGUGUUUGGUCAGACCCUCAUAGAGAGUCUGGAAGAAUCGGCUGACCUAGUCUUCAUUCCCACCAGUGCUAGGUAAAACUAUGGCAGCUUCACCAUAGUUCAAAGGGGGGCGAGUUGCCGAUUCUUCCUCAUCCAGUUCAUAAUCUUCGGCUAUGUCUCUAGGGAAGCGUUGUGAGAAGGGGUUGAAUCCAAGGCGCUUAUGCAUGUGAACGCUAAGCCACAUAUUAAUGAACCACCAGGGACCUCCCAAGUUACCGAUGGAUUGGCCUAGCAAGAGUUUCUCAGCUACUUGGUGGAGGAGGUGGUAGACAGAGCCAAGCAAAUAUCGGCCAAGAGGAAAUCGACCACCAUUGGCCAAUCUCUCUACUGCCAAUGGAUGGACAGAGGUUGGCCCUGCUGAUCGGCCGCAGAAUACAAAUUUAUCCAGCCACAUAUUUAGAAAAAUGACAUGUUCCCUUUCACCAACAGAUCCUGUUUUUUGGUACUUCUGAAUGUACCCAGACCAAUCGCCGAUGCUGCGAGUUUCCACCUUAGAACUAGGCUUAUUAUCAAACAGAUGACUGCUAUCGGCAGUUGAUAUAUCUAAGCCAGUGAGCAUAAGCACAUCGGCAAGAGUAGGAGAAGCAGGACCAUGGCCGAACACAAAAGCAUUAAGGGUGUCUGACCAAAACUAUGAGGCAGCUAUUAGCAGCGACUCGUUCUUCUCCAUAUCGGCAAUGGAUAGCCUAAUGCAUUGGUCCAAUUUUCGCUCACCCCACUGGACUUCAUUUGAAUUACAGAUUCUCAAGAACCCGUCUUUCCAUCCCUUGGUGGGGCUGGGCCAGGAACGGAAAGCAUCUUUCCACAGAUCUAAGGAGAAAUUUUCGACUCUAAAAGGGAUCCUAUUUGUCUCUGCGUUUAUCAGAUCGGUGGGAUCUGGGUUUCCCAAUGGACCGAGACACUGAGAGUGUUGUUGAUCGGUAGGAAUCACAAUCUUGUUAGCUAACUCCUAGAGGGUUUGAAGUUUGAAGGAACAAGAAAAGAGGAAAAAGGGGAAAAAAGGAGUACUCAGUAAACAAAUUUGCAGAUGAACAGGAGUACAGCAAAAGAAUAAAAAGAAGGGGAUGGUAAGUUGACCUCAGGGACGACGAAGUUGAUGGCCAUUUCUUCCCGGAGGAAGGAAGAGAUCGGAGUUCUUGAGGUUCUCGAACAGUGCCACCGCCAGGAGGGUGGAUUUGAGCCUGUAGAAUGAUAGGAUGGAAGAAGCGUACCAGACAAGGAGGUAUUUAUAGGACAAAAAGGGCAGGGUCAAAUCUGACUUAUCUCUUUGCCGCAUCCAUGAAAUCUGAGGGUGUUCAGGUGAAUAUGGUAACUGUUCGCACGAUAAUCAAGGGAUUGCGCAGGUGAUUUGACAGCAAGUGGUAGUUUUAAAGAUAUCUUACUGCAUAAAGAUCGCCUGGUCGGUGCAUCGGCAGUCUUCUCUAACGGUAAUAUUGCCGAUGAGCACAUUGCCGAUGAGCACAUUAUGGAGAGAUUUGGUUUGAUUCGAGGUACAUGCUGUAAAACCGAGCUGAGGUUGUUCAGAUUCGGUGAUUAAUUACCAAUCAGAAGGAGUAAUUGUGGAAAGGCGCCAUUACUGUGGAGAAUUUCGAAGCAUUAAUGAUUUUAUACUGUGAAAUUGGGGGGCAUGUGUUGACACCGUUUUUGGACACAUAUCUCUGAGUACGUAUCUGGAGUUAAUAAGGAGUAGAUCGGCAAGCAGGAAAAUGGUGGCUGGUUUGCAGAUGAAUUGCCGAUGGGGUUGGUGCCGAUGCGAGAACGACGGGAUAUGACUGAGUCCAGGAAAUAGUGAUAGGAUCGUGCCGAUGACUAGCACUGAUGAUUGCCGAUGACGGAGAAAGGCGGUCUGCCGAUGGCCAUGGAGGAAGAUGCAGGGGUUGCCGAUUGGCUCAUAACCGUCUACCGAUCGGUCGUGGAGGACAAUUUAAUGUUUUCCUUAGUUAUUAGAGUUCGUUUUGUUUACGGAUUCCGUUUAAUUUGGAAUUCGAGUUCUAGUCGUGUCUGGUUGUAGUUCUUUGGGACAGGGUAUAAAUCUAGACCCCGUGGCAAUGUAACAGAUCAAUCAAUCAAACACAAGUUUUUACACAUAUUCCAGCAUCUACUUUUUUCGACGACAUCGUCAUAUUUUCCUUUUACUACGAGUUCUUAGGAAUUCGUCGAGUUAAACUCGGCGUGUUCUCAGGUUCCGCGUGAGCACCUCUUGGCCGUGACAUCCGGGCGCAUCGCUGUUGUCGGAACCAAAGUGUUCGAGUUACCACCUGUCUCGAUUGUAUGGUCAAAUCGGCUGGCACGCCUUAACGUUUGAAUCGGGUAUUAGCCCUUUGUGUUUGCAGAUCAGCUUUUGCACCAACAGAUUCUCAAUCGAAAUAUGCUAAAACAUACAAAGUUGGCUGGCUGUCCUGGAAAAUCGAGAGAGCAAGCAUUUCGCAAUAGCUACUUGUAACAUUCAUUACUUUUAAACUACUCAACCAAAUGUCAUGAAAUUUGGACAUGAAGUGGAUAAGCAAGAUAGCUACAAGUUUGUUAUAGACAAGUUUUCCAGAAAACUUUAUCUUCAAGCUGUUCUUGAACAAAUGCUAUCAGCUACACAGAAAUGCUCUCGGAAAGACAUAAAUAGCAAAAAAUAAUAUUUUCCACAUAUUAAGAAUGUAACAUAGGCUCAAACCAAAUGCACCAGUAGAUAGAACAUGUCUAAGAAACACCAUAAAAUAUCAUGGCAAGGUUUAAACUCAUAUCUAUCAUCAUCUUUUCUAUUUAUUUAAGUAUAAAGGUGAUUUAAUGAGCAUACAUCACAAGUGCUCCAAAAAUUCUAAAAAAAUUACAGCAAGCUAUUUGGACUACCACCAGUUAAAUGUAAAAAUUUCAGGGCACUUGCACAUGCAAAUUGUGGGAUACAAAAAUGACAAGCUAACAAAGGCAUUCAAGGCAUAAAUGUGAAACCCUAUCAAAAAGUGUCAAAUAACAGAUUUCAGAUUUUACCUAGCUUUGUUUACUCAUGAUUACAUCACCCAGCAAGUGUCACCAUCAAAGGAGUUAUAAUUUAUUUACUAAAAAUGCCAUAAGAAACUUCUAUUUAAACAAGAAAUAUUUAUAACUUCACUAAAGGACAUCCAAAAAUCGUGAUAAAUUUAUCAGAGCUUACUCAAGUCAUAAGUAACCACACCCUAAAUUUGCAUGGCUAUCAGAUCCACAGAUCUCCAGAUAUAAUUACCUCCUAUUAAAUCAAGAUUAAAUUAUAUCUAUUUAUUUCUGCAAAAACAUGGCAUCUCUCACAUUUUUAAUAAAAACUAGAUCAUCACAGGAACCUAGCAAAAUUGGAAUCACAUCAUUUGGAUCUGUAUAACUCGAGUUAUGGAUUUUACAAAAUCAACACAGGAUCUGCAAAAUAGAAAACCAGGGGUGUGAGGGAGAGAGGCUGACAGGGACCCACUGGUCAGCGGGACCCGCUUGACAGCGACACAGAGACAGGGGAGAAGCUCGUCGCCGGCGAAACUCGACGACGGCGAGGUCUCCGGGGAAACCAAGGGCACCAACGUGACCCUCUCACCAAGGCGGACCUGUCGAGGUCCGAAAACCUAUCUCUACCGAGCUCUAGAGGGCUCGCCGGCGUGAAUGGUGGCUCGGCGGCGCUGUAGGCGAUACGCCGGCGUGCACAGCCGAUACCGUCCCGGUUGAGGUUCACGCCGAGCAUCAGUGAGUCAAGGGGAAGCACUAGGAACAAGAAUGGAGAGAAAUGGUGGAGUAGAGAGGCCUGGCUACAUCGCCGGUGAGCUCGGGCGGAGCUCCGGCGAGGAAGAACGGCUCGGAGCUCGGCAAUGCCGCCUUACCCGUGCUCGACAGUGGCCAAGGAGGUGACGCCAAGGUAGAGGGGGCUCUGGCAAGGCGUUUGGCUGGCUGGCUUGGCCCGAGACGGCGAGGAAAGCUCGGGCGAGGCUGUUGUUCCGUGGCGGAGCUCGCCAAGGCGAAAUGGAAAAGGGAGAGAGCGCUGGGGAGGCGAAAUGAGGACAGCCAAGGCUCCGGGUGGCAUCGUGGCAUCCAAGUGGAGGCAUCAGGGCUGACAGGCAGGGUCGCCGUCGACGUAGGGCCGCCACAGGUCUUCCACGCGUCGGCCGGCCGGCGACUGACGAAACUGAAUCGCGCGAUUCAGUCAUCGUCGGCCGUGUUUGAAACCCAAAAUUCAUCGACGUUUUACUCCUGAUCCACUAGACGGUUUUGGCUCGAAUUUGUCCCUCUGGGUAGAGCUACACGAGUUCUACAAGUUUGCUUAAAGGAUUGAAGUCUGGUUCGGAUUGGAUUUCAAACCACAAAGCUCCCAAGUACCCUACCACGAAACUGUGUCGACUCUGACUUAGGCAAAUUUGGCUAAGUGUGGAAACAGCCCUGAUUUUUGCCUUGUGAGCUAAUAUUGAGUGUGUUCCAAGCAUUUUCAUAAAAAGUCAUAAACAUAACUUUUGUAGCUUAUGAAAUUUACUACAACGUUGUUUUAGAUGUCAUUUACAUGCAAGGUCUCUAACACCAGUUUCAUAAAACAUCUUUGAAUAGAGGUUUAGGGGGUCAACUAGGUCAACCUAUGGCUAACCAUAACUUAGGGGUAUUUUUUGACAAAACCUCCAACAUAAACUUUGCUCAAAAUGUUAUCCUAAGCAUGAUUAAGGUAUUUUGGAAAACAAUGUACACUUAUGUGCAUUGGUCACCCAUUACUAUCACUCAUAUCAAGCCACCCAAGCAAUUCAAUCAUACAUAGUAUACAAUAGAUGACAUGAGAUCAUGAUGGAUGCUUAUGAAUGAGCAUGAUGAUGCUUAUGUUGAUGCAAUGCUCAUGGUUAACAUGCAAGCUAACACUAGAAGUGUUACAGCCCUCUCCCCUUACAAAAAUCUCGUCCCAAGAUUUGAAAGACGUACCAUUUUUCAUAGAAUGAGGGAUAAGUUACUUGUAAAUAGUCUUCCCUUUCCCAAGUGGCAUCUCUUUCACUUUGGCGGUUCCACAAAACUCUAAAAAGUUUAAUCACUCUCCCCCGAGUAACCCUUUCCUUGACAUCAAGAACUUGUACAGGCUUCUCUUCAUAGGAUAGAUCGGACUGCAACUUAAGAUCUCUUAUUUCAACUCUCUCUUCGGGCACACGAAGGAACUUCUUGAGUUGAGACACGUGGAAUACUGGGAAAAUAGCUCUCAUUUAUGGAGGUAGUUGUACCUUGUAAGCUACCUUGCUGCUCUUCUCAAUGAUUUGGUAGGGUCCCACAUACCUAGGGGCGAGUUUUCUUUUUACGCCGAAGCGAUUCACACCCUUCAUGGGCGAUACCUUGAGGUACACAAAGUCACCUACUUCAAACUCUAUUGGUCUUCUUCUUCGGUCGGCAUAGCUUUUCUGUCUAGCUGGGGCAGCUUCCAUGUGUUUCUGGAUAAUGAGGACUUGCUUUUCGGCUUCUUUGACAAAGUCAAUUCCGUAGUACCUCCUUUCACCAGGUUCGACCCAGUUUAGAGGAGUUCUACACUUGCGACCAUACAAAGCUUUGAAAGGAUCCAUUUGAAUGCUUUCUUGAUAGCUAUUAUUGUAUGAGAAUUCAGCUAAGGGUAGCCAUUUUUCCCAUGCACCCUUGGAAGAGAUAACGCAUGCUCUCAACAUGUCUUCCAAGAUUUGAUUCACACGCUCAGUGUGACCGGAGGUUUGAGGAUGGUAGGCUGAACUGCGAACCAACUUUGUACCAAGGAGUGAAUGCAAAUGCUCCCAAAAGUGGGCAGUGAAGUGAGGACCUCUAUCAGAAAUAAUAGUGCAGGGUACUCCGUGCAAUUUAACAAUCUUAGAGAAGUACAACUCAGCAUAAUCAGAUGGUCGGUAGGUAGAAUGUACGGGAAUGAAAUGAGCUGACUUGGUCAAGCGGUCAACAAUAACCCAAAUAGAGUUGUGUCCCUUUUGAGUAGGGGGAAGUCCAACAAUGAAAUCCAUGCUGAUUUCUUCCCACUUCCAACCCGGAAUCGACAAGGGUUGCAAUGAACCUGCAGGCUUAAGGUGAACUGCCUUUACCCUGCAGCAAGUAUCACACCUAGCAACAUAAGCUGCUAUUUUCUUCUUCAUCUUGGUCCACCAAAAAUGAGGUUUCAAGUCUUGGUACAUUUUGCUACUACCAGGAUGAAUGGACAACUUGGAAGAAUGAGCUUCAUCUAGAAUUUUGUUGCGUAAUUCACGGUCUUUAGGUACAACUAGCCGAUCGUCAAACCACAGCACACCUUUCUCAUCUACCCGGAAAUGCUUGGUGUCUUGCUCUUUCAUUUUUCUAUUGAUGUGGAAGAUACUAGGGUCAGUCUUUUGGAGCUCUAUAAUUUGACUCUCUAACGAGCAACUGACUACAAUGUUGUGCAGGACCACAGGAUGCAAUAAUUUGAACCCUUCCUCUAAGAGAGGUCCAACAUGUUGUUUCCGGCUGAGAGCAUCGGCUACAACAUUGGCUUUGCCUGGAUGAUAGUGUACUUCCAGAUUAUAGUCUUUUAUCAAUUCCAACCAUCUUCUUUGUCUCAUGUUUAGUUCGGGCUGAGUGAAUAUAUAUUUAAAGCUCUUAUGGUCAGUAUAAAUGUGAUACAGAUUACCCAAUAGAUAAUGCCUCUAGAGAUUCAAUGCAUGCACAACUGCUGCUAACUCUAGAUCAUGAGUCGGGUAGUUGGCUUCGUGCUUCCUCAGCUGCCGAGAGGCAUAGGCAAUAACUCGGCCUUCUUGCAUCAGUACACAACCAAGGCCAGUGCCAGAUGCAUCACAAAAGACAUCAAAUGGCUUUUCAAUGUCAUGUUGUGCCAAAACAGGAGCAGUGGUCAGCAGGUGGCGUAAACCAGUGAAAGCGACAUCACACUCCUGAGACCACACAAAUUUCAUAUCUUUUUGCAUUAGCUUGGUCAUAGGCUUGGCUAUUUUGGAGAAGUCUGGAAUGAAGCGACGAUAGUAUCCAGCUAGGCCGAGAAAACUCCGAACCUCAUGCACUGAAGUCGGGGCAUUCCAGUCUAGAACCUCUUGUACCUUCGACGGGUCAACUGAAAUACCGUCUUCAGAUAAAAUAUGGCCUAGGGAAUGCACUUUCCUCAGCCAAAACUCACAUUUGCUGAACUUGGCAUAGAGCUGAUGUUCUCGCAAUCUAGUGAGUACAAUCCGAAGGUGCUUCUCAUGGUCUUGGGCAUUUUCAGAAUACACCAAUAUGUCAUCGAUGAACACCACCACAAACUUAUCCAGUUCAGGCAUGAACACCAAAAUCAUCAGGUACAUGAAAUGAGUAGGGGCAUUAGUCAGACCAAAGGACAUGACUAAAUACUCAUACAACCCAUACCUGGUAGAGAAAGCCAUUUUAGGAAUGUCUUCGGGUCGAAUCUUGAUUUGAUGAUACCCGGAUCUUAGAUCGAUCUUUGAGAAUACCUUAGCCUUAGCUAGUUGAUCAAACAGAGUAUCAAUGCGAGGAAGAGGAUACUUGUUUUUGAUAGUCACGGCAUUCAGCGGACGAUAGUCUACACACAUACGUAGAGACUUGUCCUUCUUCUUGAUAAAGAGAGUCGGACAACCCCAUGGAGAAGAACUAGGCCGAAUAAGACCCUUCUCUAGGAGUUCUUGCAAUUGCUUUUUCAAUUCUACCAAUUCAUUGGGUGGCAUUCGAUAUGGCCUUCUAGAGAUAGGUGCAGUACCCGAAAUUAGGUCAAUUUUAAACUCUAUGUCUCUAUCCGGUGGCAACCCGGACAGAUCCUCUGGAAAGACAUCCGGAAACUCACACACUACCGGAAUCUCUGCCACAGUGAGUGGUCUAAUAGCAUUAGCAGCGUGACGGAUGCCAUCAUUCUUGGGAAGCUGGACUAAGAAGGCUUCUUUGCUAUCAGGCUCCCACAACAUGACUACCCUCAUGGAGGUGUCUAUUAACACCCCAUGCUUACUCAUCCAAUUCAUUCCCAAAAUAACAUCUAUCCCCAAGCCUGGCAAGAUUACUAAAUCUGCUGAAUAAUUACGCCCUUCAAUGGCAAUAUGUACAUCCCUCACUAAUUGAUUUGUAGCGAUUUGAUUACCAGCAGCACUAAUGCAAAAUUUGCCACUGUCAAGAUCAACUACAUGCUGCCCAUGCUUAGAUGCGAAAGCUUGACUCAUAAAUGAAUGCGAAGCUCCAGAAUCAAACAAGACAACUGCAGAGUGUUGAUUGACAAGAAACAAACCAACGGUGACCACUUCACCUUCAGGGAUUUCUUCGACAGUGGUAUAGUGCACUCGGCCAGUACGGUUAUUACCCCCAGCUGCAGAAUUCCUCUUGGGAUAAGGGCAAUCCCUCGCCCAGUGACCGACUUGUUUGCAGUUAAAGCAGGGACGGUUAUCAGGGGGGGCUUGGGACCUACUUGACCUGUAGCACCCCUAGGAAGAGCAACUGUGAAGGACUUGCGAACUCCUGUCUUCACAUUCGACUUCUUCUGCAGCGGCCUGUACCUUGUCACAGCAUUGGGCGGGCGAUAGGCCGAUUUGCUUGUCACCGGAGCCUUGGACUGCGAAGCACCUGCCUCAUAAGCCCUCUUGCGGUUCUUGGACACGGCAUAAACAGCAUUGGAGUUCUCCUGGGUCAACGUACCACUUACAAACUCAUUGAAGGUGGUGCUCUUGUUUCCAGCCAUGUUCUUGGACAGUUUGGGUCCAAGCCCUCUCUUGAAACUAGCAAGUUUCUUGGCCUCAGUAUCAACAAAUUCAGGAGCAUAGCGAUACAAGUUAUUGAAAGCAUGAAGAUACUCAGUCAAGCUUUUAGUGCCCUGAGUCAGGUUCAUGAACUCGGUAUGCUUGAUAGUCAUUAAGCCCUGCGGAAUAUAAGUGUUCCUGAAAGAAGUUUUGAACUGAUCCCAGGUUACAACAGCAUUGGCAGGCAAGCUGGUCCUAUAAUGACUCCACCAGACACCUGCUUUGCCUUCCAACUGGUGUGCUGCAUACUCUGCCUUCAACUCUUCAGUCACCCUCAGCAAGCGGAAUUUCUACUCGAGAGUGUUCAGCCAUUCAUCAGCUUUCAGAGGUUCAACGGCCUCCUUGAAAAGCGGCGGUUUUGUGUCCUGGAACUCUUUGAAAUUGUUGUACUGAUUGGCCUCUCCGCCUUGGCGGGCAUGGCGACCACCCCGGUUCUGCUGUGCCAUAGUCUGCAUAGCUUCAUUGAGCAUCCGCUGCGGCCUACGGGCGAUACGCCGGCGUGCACAGCCGAUGCCGUCCCGGUUGAGGUUCACGCCGAGCAUCAGUGAGUCAAGGGGAAGCACUAGGAACAAGAAUGGUGAGAAAUGGUGGAGCAGAGAGGCCUGGCCACGUCGCCGGUGAGCUCGGGCGGAACUCCGGCGAGGAAGAUCGGCUCGGAGCUCGGCAAUGCCGCCUUACCCGUGCUCGACAGUGGCCAAGGAGGUGACGCCGAGGUAGAGGUGGCUCUAGCGAGGCGUUUGGUUGGCUGGCUUGGCCGGAGACGGCGUGGAAAGCUUGGGCGAGGCUGCUGUUCCGCGGUGGAGCUCGCCGAGGCGAAAUGGAGAAGGGAGAGAGCGCUGGGGAGGCGAAAUGAGGACAGCCGAGGCUCGGGGUGGCGUCGUGGCAUCCAAGUGGAGGCGUCGGGGCUGACAGGCGGGGUCGCCGUCGACGUACGGCCGCCACGGGUCGUCCACGCGUCAGCCGGCCGGCGACUGACGAAACUGAAUCGCGUGAUUCAGUCGUCGUCGGCCGUGUGUGAAACCCAAAAUUCAUCGACGUUUUACUCUUGAUCCACUCGACGGUUUUGGCUCGAAUUUGUUCCUCUAGGUAGAGCUACACGAGUUCUACAAGUUUGCUUAAAGGAUCGAAGUCUGGUUCAGCUUGGAUUUCAAACUACAAAGCUCCCAAGUACCCUACCUCGAAACUAUGUCGACUCUGACUUAGGCAAAUUUGGCUAAGUGUGGAAACAACCCUGAUUUUUGCCUUGUGAGCUAAUUUUGAGUGUGUUCCAAGCAUUUUCAUAAAAAGUCAUCAACAUAACUUUUGUAGCUUAUGAAAUUUACUACAACGUUGUUUUAGAUGUCAUUUACAUGCAAGGUAUCUAACAUCAGUUUCAUAAAACAUCUUUGAAUAGAGGUUUAGGGGGUCAACUAGGUCAACCUAGGGCUAACCAUAACUUAGGGGUAUUUUUGGACAAAACCUCCAACAUAAACUUUGUUCAAAAUGUUAUCCUAAGCAUGAUUAAGGUAUUUUGGAAGACAAUGUACACUUAUGUGCAUUGGUCACCCAUUACUAUCACUCAUAUCAAGCCACCCAAGCAAUUCAAUCAUAUAUAGUAUACAGUAGAUGACAUGAGAUCAUGAUGGAUGCUUAUGAAUGAGCAUGAUGAUGCUUAUGUUGAUGCAAUGCUCAUGGUUAACAUGCAAGCUAACAAUAGAAGUGUUACACCAGACAAUACCGGCAUCAUGGCCGUUCGCUUGCUGGGGCCUAGAUAUGAUCGGGCCAUUGAAGCCUACUCUUGGUAAUUUCAAGUUUGUGUUUGUACUAGUCGACAAGUUCUCUAAGUGGAACGAGUACAUGCUGUUGGUUAAAGCAACUUCAGAAAAGGUUGUAGAAUUCCUCAAUCAGAUUAUACAUCGUUUCGAGGUUCCUAACAGCAUAAUCACCGAUUUGGGUACUCAGUUCACUAGCACUGCAUUUUGGGACUUCUGCGAUGACAGAAGCAUAGCUGUAAAGUACGUGUCUGUAGCUCAUCCCCGAGCCAAUGGACAAGUCGAGUGAGCUAACGACAUGAUCAUAGAUGCUUUAAAAAAGAGGUUGUACCAAGAAAAUGACAAAGCAGUGGGAAUUUGGAUGAAAGAACUGCCAGCCAUGGUCUGGGGCCUCCGAACACAACCUAGUCGGAACACAGGCAUAUCCCCUUACUUCAUGGUAUACGGGGCCGAGGCGGUCCUCCCCACUGACAUAAAGUUUGGAUCUCCAAGAGUCAAGCGUUUUGAUCAGUUUUUAGCAGACAAUACUAGGGAAGUUGAAAUCAAUUGCAUAGAGGAAAAACGACUAGAUUCCUGCGUCCGCACAGCCAAGUACCUUGAAGUCUUACGACGAUACUACAAUAGGAACGUCAAGGAGCACUUUUUUGUGGUUGGCGAUUUGGUACUAAAGUGGAAGACAAGUCAAGAAGGGAUGCACAAACUAUCCACACCCUAGGAAGGACCCUUCAUGGUCGUGGAAGUCACGCAUCCCACUUCCUACAGACUGGCUUAUCCAAACAUAACAACUCUACCUAACUCUUGGCACAUAGACAAACUAUGACGUUUUUACCCUUAGACUAGUACACCUCGUAUGUAUCUUUUUCCUUAUGAUUAAUGACAAGUGUUGGUUUUUUGUUCCAUACUUUUUAUAUGCAGAAUAUUCAACAAGUAUGAUCUUUUCUGUUCUCGACACACAAGCUUAAGUAACGAAAUCAAGUAGGGUACUCAGUGAUACAUCACUCUUACGAGUCAUUCACAGAGCUUAACCAUGGUUUACAAAUUUCUGCAUUAUUACAAACUUUCCCAACAAAGUUUACAAUAAAAGCCCCUCUGGGCGGUCCAAGUCUACACCUACAGACUAAGCUAGUGGUCACUACUCGGGCUGCGCGCUAGCAUGCGUCUCUGGUGCCAUCGAGGAGGCCGGGGUUACUGGUGCUUGGCUGGUCGAGACCGCAUGCGCCGAUCGUCCAUCUGCCGCAGCGGACGACUCUGACCACUCCCUAAUUGACCUAUCUAAACCCGGUUGGCUGGGCAGAGUUGACAUCCCGCAGAGGUUAACAUCGCCGAUUACAGUAGCCGACAGGUCCAGAAGACUGACUCAAAGGUCAUCUGCCUCCUCCGGACCAACCUCCUUAGGGUACCCUCCCUCCAAGCGGGACAGGUCGAUAAGGGGGUAGUGGGCACGUACUGUUGACACUUUUUUUGAUGAAACGGUGGGGGAGCUCCCCACCACCUUUUUUUUGUAUUUCAAUAUAAAUAAAGGAAUCGUUACAAAGUCAGGAACCAAAGAUUACAGGGCCGCCUGUAUAAAUGUAUUUUUACACAGGCGGCUCACACUACACCGCGUGUGUAAAUAAUUUUUUGAUAUAUAUUUCAAAUUUUAAUUUUUCCCACCAAACACAGUGCUAAACAUCAUAUAUAUAUAUACACACACACACCAUACAUACACCACAUAUAUAUAUUAUAGAAUUGUAAAGAUGAAAUCAAACAUCAACCAUAAAAUUACAUAUAUAUACACGUCAAUACAUGUUAUCCGCACAACCAUACAGUGUUUACGUGUCAUUUCGUUUCGGAUUUAGACCUGCUAUUUCUGUCAGCACUCUAAAUUUAUCACUUGCUAAAUUGCCCUCAUGAUCAAAAUAUGCACCGUCACUUGGAAUUAUUUCUCUCAUAAUAAAACCACACAAGUCUGCUACUAUAUCUUCCAGAGUCUUUGGUGUAAAGGCACGUCCUUUCCUUGCUUUUUUGGCUGGAAACAAAGUUUAAAAGCAUGAUUGACACAUGUUCAAUAUAUAAUUUUGCAACUUUAAUGAGAAAACUUCAUACAUAGAUAUUAUUUACCAUAUUUUUGUCCCUGACGUAACGUCCCCGCUGCCUUAUAAACUCACAGACAUAGUACCCACAAUAGACCGAUCCAGGUGGUUGCUUGUGGCACUAUAUAAUGAGCAACGGAUUAUUCUAAAUUUGCCAUACUUUAUGUAUUAUUUAUAUGAUGAAAUGUGUUCGGACAACUUACCGGAUAGUGGUGUUGUAUCAUCAAUGGCACCCUAGGAUCUGAGCGUGCGGCGUCGACCAGUCCCUUUUGUUUCUUAUAAAACCGCCAUGCCCUGUAGAUAUCGAAUAUAAAUCACUAAAGUUAUUUUGAAACUCUAAUUUAUAUAAGUACGCAUGUGGUUUCAUGUUGGCUCACCUUUCUAAUUGAACCAAGAAUGGUUGAUACUUCUCGGGAGGAACAUGUAAAGAGUCUAGGACAAGCACCUUCCCUUCGAAGGGAUAAAUAUAAAAAACAAUCCAAUGGUCACUACAUGAAUAAAUGAGUGAGCGACACAUGUAUAUUGUUUACACGAUAAUUAUUUGAAGUACGUAUAUGAAGUCAAGCUUACCUAAAGUUGUAAGGUGCCAAUAUAAAAUCCCUAUACUUAUACCUCAGUAUUGAUCUACCAAGAUAGAGGGCAUAAUUAUCCUCGUAUUUUCUUUGGAACUCUUUUAUAGCUUCUGCAACUUCUUGUGGUGUUUUGUCUUCCUCUAUCUUUGCUCUAUCUUCCUUUGAUAAUACAAAUUUGUGCAUAUUUUCUUGUCACUUGAUAGGGCUCAGAUAACCGACCAUCGAUCCGGUAGAUAAUAAUGACCUCUGCUCGUUAUCUUGCAAACUACAGAUAACAUCUACAUAUUAGAGUUUCACACUACAUAUUAAUAAUAAUUGUGUGUGCAUGAGUGAUACAUACAAACACCAGAUUGUUAUGAGUUGGACGUCAAGCCGCCUAUAGUUCAAUAACAAAUGCAUGUCCUCAAAGGUAACAAAUGCCUUGCUUUUUUCGUUACCAGUAGCAAACACAUCUGCUGGUAUAUCAACUCUGAUUGCAUGGAGGCCAGCAUGCACUGCUCUCAUGUACCAGUCAUGAAACCUUUUUAUCGGCCAUUGAAUCAUAUCAAGCAGCGUCCAUUGGAGCAUAGGCCUUCCGGGCACAUAGUCACUGGGGACAUUGACAUAAUCAUCAAUCGUUGGCUUUUUGAUAUCCUUUAGGGUCAAUGGUUGACUUGAUGGCUGUUUGACAUGUACAUCACCACUUGGGGCUUCCUUUGAUGGGGGCAUGGCUUCUAUUGACUGGGUGGUGGCUUCCUUUUUCUGUGACGGUUCGAGCGCAAUAAGUCGUGUCGUCCACUACUUUCCAAGUCCUUUCAGAAAGAGAGUUGUGCCUGCUGCUUUCCCCUUUUUUGGCUCAUAGGGAGAAAUCAAUUUUGGAAUUGGAAAUUUCUUCACCUUCUUAGAGGCUGGUGCUACUAGGGGAGUUUGGUCAUCUUCCUUCUGCUUUGGAGGUAGUGGGGGAGUCUGCUCAUCCUCCUUCUCCUUUGGAGGUGGUGCGGGAGUUUGCUUAUUCUCCUUGGAUGGCGGAGUCUGCUGCUCAGGCAUGUUCUCCUUGACUGGCACCUCAGGCUCAUUCUGCAACAAUGCCAUCUCAUGUAUUGGGGAGGAUGGGUGGCUCAUAAAUGUACGGGCAUGCUGGAGCAUGCAUUGGUGAUGGUGGCUGUUGAUAUGUUUCGGCCUCUUGGGAUGGUUGAGGCACUAUGCUUGGAGAGGGUGGCGCUGGUGGAUCAGUCAACCUUACGUACCGUCUCGGCUAUUGUAUGAAGUUGUUGAUUGCUUGUCCAAGCUUCUCUAUACCCUCAGAGGUCGGGAUGUCUAUGAAGUCGUCUUCGUAUCCGGCCUCGACCGUCAACACUUCCACCCUACAGUAUGCAUCUUACAUGUCAAUAGUAUGGAAUGUACGUCCUGGGAUAGCAUUGUCGGUGGCCACUUGCUUUGUAUGCUGAUUCUUAAGGCCAUAGGAUAUGACCAAGGAGCAAGGCCAAGGUCUAUCAAUAUCAUCAACUGGAUAAUGGUCCUUAUUUGUUGUUGACGCUAUACUGCUUGGAAAGGGCAUAGAUUGUGUGGCCAUCUCGUGACGCUCCAAGGGUUGAGCUGGUACAAGCUGCAUAUGCGAAAGAGCUUGUGAGGACAUUUGUUGAGCAGACACUGCUCCUGCCAACCGCUUCAUCACUUCAGGAUCAGGAUUUGUAAAGAAGUCUUCCAUCAUAUCCCUAAACUUUUUUGCAGCCUGCUGCUCAAAAAAAUCUUUCAUUUCCUCCUUAUGUCGGUCUCUUUUCUUAUACAUGCCUUUCCACUCAUCACUGAAUCCUUCUUUCCAACUAAUUCUGGAGGAGAAUCCCCAUACACGUCCUGGAUGCUCGGGGUUACCUAGAGCAUGGGUAAGGAUGUCCCUCUCCCUCUGUGACCUCAAGGCACCUUUCUUUUCUAGGUUUGAUGCUUCCAAAACCUUGUCGGCAACUUCUCUAAUCUCAUCGGGACAUGACAUCUCAUCGCUCUCAGUGUUUGCCUUUCGAGCGCGAAGCCAAUACGCACUCCUUUCAGGCACUAUAUCGGUCAAUGCCAAAUGGCCCUCUCUCCUCUUUGCAUCGUCUUCUGCCCUCUAUUUAGGAAUCUUGGUCUUAUAACCACCAGUGCCAAGGUGGUGGUGAUACUUGUUCCUCUUCGCGAGUUCAGAGGUGGCUUUGCUCUUAGCCUUCGCGUCGUCCGAUUCUCUCAUCAAACGAAAACGUGCCCACUGAGCCUCUGUGAUAGGGUACCGCUUCGUCGGGUCCCGUCCCUUCUGCAAGCACUUUUUGUUCAUAUCGUGCCUAUAGCCCCAGAAUGAUAUUGCCAACUGCUUCAUGACAUAACCCUUGGCCAAAUCAUUUGUACCAUCGGGAAAAAUAAAUCGAGUGCACAAACGAUUCCCGCAAGUGGUCCUUUUCACUUGUGGCACCAGACUCCAAUCACUCCAAGUGAUAUCAAAUUUCUCUUUUACUAAAAAUCCAAUUGCGGCCCUAAAUUUGGGUAGCGCCUCUAGAGGUGCUAAGGGCUCUCCGCUUGGACUUAACUCUAUAAUCUGAUAAACUUCUUUUGGAAAUCUAUUCUUUCCUCUGUCUCCUCGUGCCCGAUCACUCUUUUUUGUUUUACUUCUUGGCUCAGAGGAUGUCCUAGUCGUUUGAGGCGCCGUGUCCUUCUGAACAUCUUGUUCUUCUGCCUCCAUUUCGGCAACAACUUGAGAUAACACCUCCUGCCCAUUCAAUUGUAGGUACAUACAUAUAUACACAUGUAUUCUAUUGUAUAGACACUACUACAAUAUAUACCUCAUCAUCAUCCGGAUCAGCUUGAGGCUCGUAUGUCGGGUCAUGUUUCAACUCUAGACGAGCCUUCUUAGCUCUGGGGGAUUCACGUGGUGAUACGCUUGGGCUUCUAUAAGUGUCGGAUCCAGAGGUGUCGGAUCCCGGUGUUUCUAUCUAGGCUUCAACAUUCGAUGGAGUACUCAUCUAAUUAAACAAAUAAUUUAUAAACAAUUAACUUACAAACUCUAAUUAACAAACCCUACUUAACAAAGUAAUUAAUUAAUCAAUAAUUAUUAAAUUAUUAAAUAAAGAAAUAAUUAACAAUUAAUUAACUAGCUAACCCUAAUUAAGAAACCCUACUUAACUAAUUAAUAACUUCACAAAUAAAUAACUAAUUAAUAACUAACAAAUAAAUAACCCUAAUUAAAAACUAAUUAAUAACUUAACAAAUAAAUAACUAAUUAAUAACUAACAAAUAAAUAACCCUAAUUAAUAACUAAUUAAUAACUUCACAAAUAAAUAACUAAUUAAGUAACGUAACAAAUAAAUAACCCUAAUUAAAAACUAAUUAAUAACUUAACAAAUAAAUAACUAAUUAACUAACAAAUAAAUAACCCUAAUUAAAAACUAAUUCAUAACUAACAAAUAAAUAACUAAUUAAUAACUAACAAAUAAAUAACUUAACAAAUAAUUAAUUAAUCAAUAAUUAAUAAAUAAAUAAAUAAAUAACAAAUAAAUAAUAUAUAAAUAAUUAUUAAUUAAUUAACAAAAAAUAAAAAAGACAGCCAGGGCGGCCUGCCAGGCGGGCCCAGCAAGCCAGCUGCCUGGCUGCUGCUGGCGCUGGGAGUGGCGGCGACGCGCACGACUGCCGCCGCCGCACCUCGCGGCCACUUGCUGCUCACGGCACGGCGGCUCGCGGCGCUGCUCACCUCGUCGGCGGCGCGGAGCUCGGCGUCCUCGCUCCGGUGGCGGCGGCGCGGCGGUGGUGGAGGACCUUCGACGGUCGUCGCGGCAAAGCGCGGCGGAGUGGGCGCGGAGGCGGCGGUGGCGCGCGGCGGCGCGGCUCGCGGCGGAGGCGGCGUGGGCGCGGAGGCGACGGAAUUCGGCAACCUGACGACGUCGUUUUCGUCAAAUCGCGCCACCAGACUUAGAAAUUUUCGCGUCCCGCGCUUAGGGUUUUUAUAGGAGGGGAUUAGUACAGGCGGCCCUUAAUGACCGCCGCCUGUACUAAAUGUUUACACAGGCGGCCCUCAAUGAUCGCCGCAUGUACAAACGUAUUAGUACAGGCGGCUCUCCUUCAGGCCCGCCUGUACUAAUAUAUUUGUACAGGCGGCCUUCAUUAAGGGCCGCCAGUAAUAAUAUAUCUUGUCUUUUGUUUUUUUAAUUAAUUAAUAAUUAUUUGUAAAAUAUUUAUUUGUUAAUUAUUUAUUUAUUUAUUAAUUGUUGAUUAGUUAAUUAUUUGUUAUGUUAUUUAUUUGUUAGUUAUUUGUUUAUUAAUUAGCAAAUAAUGAACAAAUGGAAAACCCUACUAAACAAAUAAAUAACUAAUAUAUUUAUUUGUUUAUUUGUUACUAAUAUAUUUAUUUGUUAGCAAAUAAUUAACAAAUAAAUAACUAACUAACCCUAAUUAAGAAACCCUACUAAACAAAUAAUUAAGAAAUAAUCCGUAAAUAAGGUAUAAAACAAAUGGAAAAUGUAAACAUGUUGCUUAAUAAGAAAUAGUAGCAUAAGGUACAAAUGAUAAGUGAUACAUGAGUUACAUGAGUAAUGACAACUUAUAGAAUCUAGCGUGCUACAGUCCUUCCUUGUCCAUCGUGGCGCACCCAUGGCAAUGAGGAUUGUGGGAUACUUUUCUCAACAUUUUUUAUGUUUUCUUGAAAGUUUGUAAAAAGAGACAUCUCGCUGAAUUGGUUAACAUCCUCCAAAUCCAUUACACCAUCUCCUAUAAUUUGUUGCUUUCGAGGAAUAGCUAUAUGCUUUGGCUUGUGGCUAUUUUUCUUUUCAUCCUUACAAAGGAUUUGUUCCACAUAGAAGACUUGUGUUGCACGGUUAGCAAGGAUCCACGGAUCAUCUUUAUAACCUACUUUACUUAGGUCAAGAACUCUUUGGCCAUAGUUAUCCAUAGUGACAUGUUUAUCUUAAACCCAUCGGCAGCGGAACACUGGAAUCUGCAGGAGUGUACCAUAUUCUACCUCCCAUAUGUCAUCAAUGAACCCAAAGUAUGUAGUUAUUUCACCAGUUGCAUCAUCUAUAGCCUCACAUCGAACGCCACUAUUAUGUGUCAUGCUCUUGGUGUCCCUAUAGCUAGUGGAAAAUGAAAAGCCACUAAUGUCAUAGCUCUGCCAUGAUGUGACCUGGCUUGCUUGAUGGUCCAGAUCCUAACAUCUUAAUGGUUUCUGAUUCCUCUGUCAUGUCCAAAUCCUUUAACCAUGUGGUGAACUGACGCUUGUGUUCCUUGUGUACCCAAUCAUUUGUGCAUCCUGGAUUCUUCUCAUGAAGCUCUUUCAUGUGCUGCUCAAUGAAUGGGUCCAUUAUUAUGAGUUGUUUUAGUAUGCUAUAAUGUGCCUCUAGGACUAUGUUGUAAUCUGGCGGGAUGAAUGAUUUCCGUCCCAUUCUCCCGCGUCCAUCAAGCCUUCCCUCAUGUCGCAAUGGAGGCAAACCAAUUGAUACCUAGUCUUUUAGGACAUUAUUACAUAAUGGUCCUCCAGACUCAAUGGCCUCUUCUGUAGUGUACGCCUCUAUCAUGGAACCCUCCGGAUGAGCACGAUUUGACAUAUAGCCAUUCAAUAUUGACAUGAAAUGCUCAUACGUCCACAUUUCAUGGAAAUACAUGGGACCUAAUGCCUCUAUUUGAGGUACCAAAUGAACAACAAGGUGUACCAUUAUAUCAAAGAACGAUGGGGGAAAGCACAUCUCCAACUGGCUCAAUAUCUCUGCAGCAAAUUUUUGUAGGGACUCUAACUCAUCAUGGACAAUUACCUUCUCAGAUAUCUUAUUAAAGAAGUAGCACAACCGUGUGAUUGCCAUCUUUAAGAACACUGGAUUUAUAGCCCGGAUGGCGAUAGGAAGAAAAGUGGUCAGCAUGACAUGACAAUCAUGUGAGUUGUAGUUGGUAAAUGUAAGGUCUUUCAUCGACACAAGACUCCUUAUGUUGGAGCAAAAACCAGAUGGAACUUUUAAAUUCUUCAACCACACACACAUUGCAUGUUUCUCCUCUCUAUUCAGGUUGUAGCUUGCUGCCGGUAGGUGGUACUUCCCAUUCUCUUGGAGUACAAGGUGAAGUUCUUUUCUGAUCUUUAAAUGUUGCAUGUCCAAACGUGAAUUGAGACCUUCCUUUGUCUUGCUCUUUAUGUCUAACAAGGUUCCAAUUAUGCUUUCAAACAAAUUCUUCUGAACAUGCAUACCAUCGAUCGCAUGUCGUGCGUCCAAGUCUUUCCAGUACGAUAAGUUCUUGAAGAAAAUGGACUUCUUCUUGAUUGUGUCCCCUUCAUUUGCCUUGACAACCUUUCUUAGUUUCCCAUCUUUGGUCUUCUUUCCAAAAAAAACUUCACAUUCUCAACUAUCUUGUACACUCUAUGCCCUUUACUACAACCUGAUGGAGCAGUAGAUUUUGAUUCAUCAAUAUUGUCAAAGUACUUAUUCAUCUUUUGUAAGCGGUACUUAUGGCCUGCCGGUAGCCAUCUUCUGUGCCUGAUGUACACUAUCUUGUUAGAUGCAGGAAGAGACACGUGCCAUGUUCCAUCUAUGCACUCUACACAACUAACCUUUCCCUUGAACUGGCCUGAUAAUGAGAAGAGAGCAGGGUAAUCAUUAAUUGUGACAAUAAUAAUUGCUCUUAGUGUGAAUGUCUCUUUGCGGAACGCAUCGAUCAUGUCCACACCUACUUCCCAUAGUGUUUCCAUGUCUUGCAUUAAGGGCUCUAGAAAUACAUCCAUAUCAACUCCAGGUUGUGUAGGUCUAGAAAUAAGAAUGGUUAGCAAAAGAUAUUUUCUCUUUUGACACAACCAUGAAGGAAGGCUAUAUAUUGUCAGGAUCACCGGCCAUGUGCUGUGCGUGCUGCUCCUUUCGCCAAAUUGAUUCAUUCCAUCAGUACUCAGUUCAAACCUUACAUUCCGUGGAUCGUCAGCAAAGUCUAGAUAUUUCUUAUCGAAAUCUUUCCAUUGCUUUGCAUGGGCUGGAUGUCGUAACUUUCCAUCAUCUUUCCUUUCAUCUGAAGCAUGACAGGUCAUAAGUUCAGCGUCUUCAGGGUUUGCAAACAAACACCUCAAACGAUCAACCACGGGGAGAUACCAUAUCACCAAAGCAGGAAUUCUUCUCAAUGCAUAAUAGUCCACUUCUUCAUUGCUACUAGGCUUUGAGUGUUUGUCUUGUUGAGUCUUUGUUUGGGUCUUCUUUUGCUUCCUCCCUAUAGAACAGAGGCUAGAUUCUCUUCCUCCCGGUAAUCUUUGUUUGUCUUGUAUCUACUGACACCACAGUUUGGACAACUAUCUAAGUCUUUAAAUUGAUCACCCCGAUAUAGAAUACAAUGAUUUGUACAUGCGUGGAUCUUCUCAACACCUAUCGUAAGUGGACUGACUAGCUUCUUUGCAUAGUAUGUGUUAGCAGGCACUUUGUUCUCCUUAGGAAGAAGGUCUCCAAGUACACGCAAGAAAUCAUUGAAGCUAGCAUCGGACCGACCAUGUCUAGCCUUCAUCGUCAAAAACUGAAGAACGGCACGUAAUGUCGACAACUCUUUGGUACAACCUUUCGACUCGUCGUACAAAGUGUCCUCUGCUACCUUCUUCAAUGCUUCCAUUCCCUUCAUUAAGAAUAUUGAUGGAUCUGCACAACGGUUCAUUAUUGCCUCUAAGAAAUCUGCAUCUUCAACAGCAUUUGUGUUAGCAUGCUGAGUUUCAUUGACAUCAGACGUAUGAGUUUCAUUGACAUCUGGCAUAGCAUGAAAUUCAUUGAGAGGUGGCAUUGGACCCUCGACAUUGAUGUUAGUUACAGUGUUGUCAGUUGUCCGCAUAUAAGGUGCAGAACUACCCUCACCAUGUUUUGUCCAAAUCAAGUAGUCCUCCAUAAAUCCUCUGCAAACUAGAUGGGAAGUAAUUGCUUCUACAUUGUCAAAUACCACAAUAUUUUUGCAGUCUGCGCAUGGACAAUAUAUGUGCUUCGCCUUUGUUCUGCGAGCAUGUAUCUUUGGGACAUCAAUAAAUUUUUGGACCUCCACUACAUAUGAUGGGUCCAAUCUUGAUAAGUUGUACAUCCAUAAUGACCUCUCCAUAUUUAGCUGUAAUUAGUUAAGAACAAUUAAUGUAGGUCAAUCUAAAAACCAAACUAAUAUAACCCUCGAAAACAGACUUAACUAAGAUACUAACCUCCUAUUAAAUAGAGAUGAAAACCUACCCCUUACAGAGUUUACAAUUUAUGGAAUUUAAAUAAUUGUUUAAACUCAUUUUCAUAAUUAUAAGAAACAAUUGUAUAAAAUUUAGGAAUAAUUCAAGGAUUUCUAUGAAGUAUUUAUGCACAAAGAUUUGAAAAAGUAUUUAUUUGCCAUUUUAUGAUUUUCAACAUUUUAAUGUUUGAGUUUAUAAAGUCUAAUUCAUCUGAAAAAAGAAAAGCUAAAACUGAAUCAAAAUUAUAAACUUCAAAAUGUCCUCAUCAUUACUCUAUUGUAUAGAUCUACUCACAAGAAUUCUAAAAAGUAUUUAUUUUCUAUUUUUUUAAUUUCUACAAUUUACUAUUAAUUUACAUAAAAAUUUAGCUAAAACUCUCUCUUGCCCUAUGAACCCUAACCCUAAGCAAGAAUGCUUCAUGAACUCUAGAUCUAGAGCACCUCCAAUACAAGAAUUGAACCAAAGAAUCACUAAAAAAAUAGCAUCAAGGGCUCUAACUAACCUUUUGGAAGUUUCUCACCAAAGAAAUGAAGAUCAAAACCUCCCCCUUGGAAACUAGAAUCGUCUGGUCCGCCUGGUCCGUGCAGAGCUCACGGGAGUAACUGUUCUUGUCUGGAGGUGGACGAAGGGUAUUUAUAGCAGGCUUAACACAGGCGGCUCAUAAAGAGGGCUGUCUGUGUAAAUACAUCAGCACAGGCGGUCCUCUAUACAAACCACCUGUGUAAAAAGACACAUUUACACAGGCGGUUGUCGAAACUCGGCCGCCUGUGUUAAUGGUAUUUACAUAGGCGGUUUUUAUUUAAGCCGCCUGUGUAAAUGUAAAGUUUACACAGGCGGUGUAGUUAAGAAGACCGCCUGUGUAAACGUGUUUACAUAGGCGGUUCUCUUGUUGGGCCCUCUGAAAUUUAUCUACUAGCGCCAUGAUAUUGUGAACCGCUUGUGAAAAAAAACAACUUGCCAGCAAAAAUGAUUUUUGUACUAGUGGAGGAUGCUUAUACCUAAGGUCGAGGACUCCUACCAGUCCUGCUAACGGGAGGUGGACUACAGAGGACCACGUAGCUGUCACCUACGCGGCCUACCACACGAUCCGGCUAACAGGGGAUAUCCACAAGUAAUCUAGGCCUAAGCACCACGCUUACACCUAUACUACAACCCUCACCUAUAGUGUCCUAUAGAUUAAAGUACUCAAAAGAGUUGUGAACCAGAACAUACAUGGAUAGUAAUUGCAUAAUGAAAUAAGAAGUAGAUAACCAGAGUCAUCCCAUGAGCAAGCUUGAUUAGAGCUUGAUCAUGGCGAAGUACAACCGGAGGAAGAACCGAUAGGCCAGCCUCUCCUCCAAUCCUCCCUCGCUCUCCAUCUCGUUACUAUCUAGAUCUACUCUAGUUUAGAGAUGAGAGGUGAGCUCUCAUCUCCAAACCCUAGCUUUUGCUCUAUCUAUGAAUAAUGAAUAAGGGAUGUAGAGGUUGCCUCCUCCAGGGGCCAGGGGGCCUGCUUAUAUAGCCCCUCCAAAUGAAUGUGGGCCGUCGGAUCAAACCAACCUUAAUCGCGCGGUUUUCCAUAAUCCUUUAGGUCGGUGGAGCAUAAUCCGCGAGGCGGAGCCUGAUUGGCUACCAGAGCAGGGCGGGCGCCCUAGGGGGGGAGGGCAGGUGCCCUAUACCAGAACGGUCCAAUUUAUAAGAAUUCAAGUGAAUUAGCGACCACAAAAGCAGUCAAGCCAAUGGACUUAAACCCAUAUAAACCCGGUAGUCCGAUGAAACCUCAAAAGAUCUCGAUUCAAACAACAUACAACCAAGACCGUACAUGAUCAAGCAUCUCCAUCACAGAUUACAUACAUUCAUCACAGAAUAUAGUUUUUACAACACAUCAGAGUUCAAAUAAAUUUAUUACAACAUAGUUCAGUAGCGGAAGCAAAGUAGUUUUGAACAACACACACUUAGUUUAAUUGCAUUCCAGUUUCAUGAUCAUCCCAACAAAAGCAUAACUGAAGAUAAUAGAAGUGAUCUUGCCCGAGAUCUACUCAGCAUCCGCAGCCGGAUGAUGAUAGUUAGCACAGUAGCCGUGAUACACGACAUCAUCUGCAACAAGGGUAAAUAAAACCCUAAGUACGAGAAUGUACUCAGCUAGACUUACCUGUCAUAAACCAGAAAUAAAAUGACACCAAGGAGUAUGCAAGGCUAACAUUUGUGGACUGGUUUGACUCACAUUUUUGCAUAAAAAGCUUUAGUUUAAAGUAACACAUAUAUACAUUUUUAGCAGCAGGUUUAUUACUUAAACAGCUAUCCACUACAUUAGCACCUGAGCUAAGCAUACACUUGAUUAUUAAGCAUCACAAUAAUAACCAUAUCUGGAUUAUCACAUAGCCAUCAUCAUUCUCAUCAUAACCAUUAAGUAUCUUUAGUGAAUUCUACGUUGCCGCUGCGCGAGUCAAGUUUUCACUAUCCGGGAGAGACGACGAUUCGAAUCGAUUCCUAUCCAGCUGGAAGGGUAUUCCUAGCACUCACCCAAGCAUACCUCGUGAGGGCAGCUCGGAUCACCUUUAGCACAACUCCGGACCAAUUCUCGGGUCCGUACAGCGCCGCACCCCUACGGACCGCCAAUCUGCCAGGGUCAGGACUCUUACGCCAUUGACUCCCCGCACAUCCUUGCUACCAACAGGGGUGCGCACUUAAACCGAACGGGGUAUCCGGCCGGAGUGCACUUAUAGGCUUCACGGUCGGAAUGACUUAUCCGGCCAACUAAGUGUUAGGCAUGCGUUCAACAUGACACGAGGACGUACAGCGUAUCAGUCCUUAAACGACACAGACGGGGAUAGAUUCACACCCAAGACCUCCAUGCCUUGUUGCUGCACUAUCGUCAUCCCACCCGGUCUUAAUUCAUUAUUAGCCCAUGGUUAUUUCCACGAUAACAAAUAUAACCAACCGUGAUCCAGUAUCCACCUAUCUCUCGCAGGUGAUAGGAAAUCACCCGGCUUCUACCGAGCUAAGCAUGGCUAAGCAUAAUUUGGACCUACUUAGGUAAGUUAUAAGGUGGACAAGGAAGUCAUUAUGCAGCAAGAUUUAUUACCAGUAGCUAGCAUAUGUCUAAGAAACAACAUAAAACAUCAUGGCAAGCUUUAAACUCAUUUCUAUCAUCACCUUUUCUAUUUAUUUAAUUAUUAACAUGAUUUAAUGAACAUACAACACAAUUGCUCCAAAAAUUCUAAUAAAAUUACAGCAUACUAUCUAAGCUACCACAGGGUUACUGUAAAAUUUUCAUGGCUCUUGCACAUGUAGAUUGUGAGAUACAAAAAUAAUAAGCUAACAAUGGCAUUAAAGGCAUAAAUGUGAAAACCUAUCAAAAAGUGUCAAACAACAGAUUUCAGAUUUUUCUUAGCUUUGUGUACAUAUGAUUACAUCACCCAGCAAGUUUCAUCAUAAAAGGAGUCAUAUUCUAUUUAUUAAAAAUACCACAAGAAACUCCUAUUUAAUUAAGAAAUAUUUAUAACUCUACCAACAGGCAUCGAAAAAUCAUGAUAAAUUUAUCAGAGCCAAUACAUAGCAUGAAGAACAAUUUCCUAAAUUUGCAUGGCCAUAAACUUACAGAUCCCAAGAUAUAAUUACCCUCUAUUUUCCAAGGAUUAAAUCAUAUCUAUUUAUUUCUGCAAAAACAUGGCAAGUUUUAUAUUUUUAAUAAAAACUAGACUAACUCAAGAACCUAACAAAAUUGGAAUCACUCCAUUUGGAUCCAUAUAACUCGAGUUAUGAAUUUUACAAAAACAGCUCAUGCUCUGCAAAAUAGUGAACUAGAGGGGAGAGAGUGAGAGGCUGAUGGGUGGGGCCUGCUGACAGACGGGACCCACGCGACAGAGAGACAGGGAGCAGAGACAAGCUCGUCGCCGGCGAAUCUUGACGACGGCGUGGUCUCCGGGGAAACCGAGGGCAUCUACGUGUUCCUCACAUCAAGGCAAACUCAUUGACCUACUGGGCUCACGCUCUACUAGAAUCUAGGGUGCUCGCCGUCGUGAAUGGCGGAGCGGCGGCGCUGCGCGGUGUUACGCCGGCGAACCUAGGCAACGACGACCCAGUAGAGGUUGCGGACGAGCAAGAGUGAAGCAAGGCGAAGCUGUAGGAAGAAGAAUCACGGCCAGAGGUGAACCAGAGAGGUCUGGCCACGUUGCCAGUGAUCUCUGCGAACUCCGGCGAGGUGGAGCUCGCCACGGCGUUGACAAUGUGGCCUCACCAGUGCUCGGCUAAGGGAAAGAAAUGGACAACGAGGUAGAGGACGUCACGGCGGAGCUCUAGGCGGGCUGGCUUGGCCGGAGACGCCGUGAUGCGGCCGGGAAAGCUCACCAAAGCGCCGCGGAGCUCGCCGAGGCGAUGGCGGAGGGAAAAUGGAGCACUCUGAGUGAGUGGAGGUUGCGUCUGAGGCGUCCAUGCGGUGCGUGGCGACUUGUGGACGACGUUGGGGCUGAUAGGCGGGGUCAUCGGCGGCGUACGGUCGACACCUGGCCGGAUACGCGGCGGCGGACGGCGAGUGUCCAAACUGAAUCGGUGUGUGAAACGCCCGAUCACCGUGACUGAAACUCCAAAUUCGUCGAUGUUUUACUCGAGAUUUACUCGAUGGUUUUGGCUCGGGUUUGUUCCAUUGGGUAGAGCUACACAAGUUCUACAAGAGUGCUUAAAGGAUCAAGGUCUUGUUUGGCUUGGAUUUCAAACUAUAGAGCUCCCAAGUACCCUAGGAGCAAACUGUGUCGACUCUGACUUAGGCAAAUUUGGCAAAGUGUGGAAACAGCCCUGAUUUUUGCCUUGUGAGCAAAUUUUGAAUGUGUUUCAAGCAUUUUCAUAAAUGGUCAUCAACACAACUUUUUUAUCUUACAAAAUUUACUACAACUUUUCUUUAGAUGACAAUUACAUGCAAGGUAUCUAACAAUGGUUUCAUAAAAGAUCUUUGAAAAGAGGUUGAGGGAGUCAACUAGGUCAACCUAGGGCUAACCAUGACUUAGGGGCAUUUUUGGGUGAAACCUCCAACACAAACUUUGAUUAAAAUGAUAUUCUAAACAUGAUUAAAGUAUUUUGGAAGACAAUGUGCACUUAUAUGCAUUGGUCACACAUUACUUUCACAUAUAGCAAGUCACAUAGCAAUUCAAUCACAUAUGACAUACACAAGAUGACAUGUGAUCAUGAUAUGAUGCUUAUGAAUGAGCAUGAUGAUGCUUAGGUUGAUGCAAUGCUCAUGGUUAACAUGCAAGCUAACACUAGGAGUGUUACAGCCCUCCCCCCUUACAAAAAUCUCGUCCCGAGAUUUGAAAGACGUACCAUUUUUCAUAGAAUGAGGAGUAAGUUACUUGUAAAUAGUCUUCCCUUUCCCAAGUGGCAUCUCUUUCACUUUGAUGGUUUCACAAAACCCUAAAAAGUUUAAUCACUCUCCCUCGAGUAACCCUUUCCUUGAUAUCAAGAACUUGCACAAGCUUCUCUUCAUAAGAUAAAUCUGACAGUAACUUAAGACCUCCUGUUUCAACUCUCUCUUCGGGCAUGCGAAGGCACUUCUUGAGUUGGGACACAUGGAACACAGGGAAGAUAGCUCUCAUUUCCAGAGGUAGUUGUACCUUGUAAGCCACUUAGCCACUUUUCUCAACAAUUUGGUUGGGACCCACAUACCUAGGAGCAAGCUUUCUCUUCACUCCAAAGCGAUUACUCCCUUCAUGGGUGAUACCUUCAGGUAUACAAAGUCACCUACUUCAAACUCGAGUGGUCUUCUUCUUCGAUCAGCAUAGCUUUUCUGUCUAGCUUGGGCGGCUUCCAUGUGCUUCUGAAUAACUAGAACUUGCUUUUCGGCUUCGUUGACAAAGUCAAUGCCGUAGUACCUCCUUUCACCAGGUUCGACCCAGUUUAGAGGAGUUCUACAUUUGCGGCCAUAUAAAGCUUCGAAAGGAGCCAUGUGAAUGCUCUCUUGAUAGCUAUUAUUGUAAGAGAAUUCUGCUAAGGGUAGUCACUUCUCCCAUGCACCCUUGGAAGAGAUGACACAUGCCCUCAACAUAUCCUAUAAAAUUUGAUUCGCCCGCUCAGUCUGACCAAAGGUUUGAGGAUGGUAGGCUGAACUACGAACCAAAUUUGUACCAAGGAGUGAAUGUAAAUGUUCCCAGAAGCGAGCAGUGAACUGAGGACAUCUAUCAGAUAUAAUAGUGCGAGGCACCCCGUGCAAUUUAACUACCUGAGAGAAGUAUAACGAGCAUAGUCUGAUGGUCGGUAUGUAGAGUGUAUGGGAAUGAAAUGAGCUGACUUGGUCAAGCGAUCAACAAUGAAAUUGUGCCCUUUUUUAAGUAAGGGGAAGUCCAACAAUGAAAUCCAUGCUGAUUUCUUCCCACUUCCAUCCUGGAAUCGACAAGGGUUGCAACAACCCUGCGGGUUUAAGGUGAAUUGCCUUUACCCUGCAGCAAGUAUCACACUUAGCAACAUAAGCUGCUAUCUCCUUCUUCAUCUUGGUCCACCAGAAACGAGGUUUCAAGUCUUGGUACAUUUUGCUACUACCAGGAUGAAUGGACAACUUGGAAGAAUGAGCUUCAUCUAAGAUUUUGUUGUGUAGGUCAUGGUCUUUGGGUACAACCAGUCGAUCAUCAAACCACAGUACACCUUUCUCAUCAACCCUGAAAUGCUUGGUGUCUUGCUCUUUCAUUUUCCUCUUGAUAUGGAAGAUACCAAGGUCAGUCUUUUGAAGCUCUAUAAUUUGACUCUCUAAAGAACAACUGACUACAAUAUUGUGCAGGACCACUGGAUGCAAUAAAUUGAAACCUUCCUCUAGGAGAGGUUCAACAUGUUGCUUUCAGCUAAGAGCGUCGGCUACAACAUUGGCUUUGCCUGGAUGAUAAUGCACUUCAAUAUUAUAGUCCUUUAUCAACUCCAACCAUCUUCUUUGUCUCAUGUUUAGCUCAGGCUGGGUGAAGAUAUAUUUGAGGCUCUUAUGGUCAGUAUAAAUGUGACAUAGAUUACCCAACAGAUAAUGCCUCCAGAGUUUCAAUGCAUGCACAACUGCUGCUAACUCUAGAUUAUGAGUCGGGUAGUUAACUUCGUGCUUCCUCAGCUACCGACAGGCAUAGGCAAUGACUCGGCCUUCUUGCAUAAGUACACAACCUAAGCCAGUGCCGGAUGCAUCACAAAAGACAUCAAAUGGCUUUUCAAUGUCAGGCUGUGCCAAAACAGGAGCAGUGGUCAGCAAAUGGCGUAACGCGGUGAAAGCGACUUCACACUCCUGAGACCAUUCAAACUUCACAUCUUUUUGCAGUAGCUUAGUCAUAGGCUUAGCUAUUUUGGAGAAGUCUAGAAUAAAGCGACGAUGAUAUCCCGCUAGACAAAGAAAACUCCGAACCUCGUGUACUGAAGUCGGGGCCUUCGAGUCUAGAACCUCCUGCACCUUUGACGGGUCAACAAAAAUAUCGUCUUUAGAUAGAAUAUGACCUAGAAAAGGCACUUUCUUCAGCCAAAACUCACACUUGCUGAACUUGGCAUAAAGCUGAUGUUCUCGCAAUCUAUUGAGUACAAUCCGAAGGUGCUUCUCAUGGUCUUGGGCAUUUUCAGAAUACACCAAUAUGUCAUCGAUGAACACUACCACAAACUUAUCUAGUUCAGGCAUGAACACCGAAUUCAUCAGGUACAUGAAAUGAGCAGGGGCAUUAGUCAGACCAAAGGACAUGACCAGAUACUCAUACAACCCAUACUUGGUAGAGAAAACCGUUUUAGGGAUGUCUUCCGGUUGGAUCUUGAUUUGAUGAUACCCGGAUCUCACAUCAAUCUUUGAGAAUACCUCAGCCUUGGCUAAUUGGUCAAACAGAAUAUCAAUAAGGGGCAGGGGAUACUUGUUCUUGACAGUUACGGCAUUUAGCGGACGAUAGUCUACACACAUACAUAGAGACUUGUCCUUCUUCUUGACAAAGAGAGCCGGACAACCCCACGGAGAUGAACUAGGCCGAAUAAGACCUUUUUCUAGGAGUUCUUGCAAUUGUUUCUUCAAUUUUGCCAAUUCAUUGGGCGGCAUUCGAUAUGGCCUUCUAGAGAUAGGUGUGGUACCCGGAAUUAGAUCAAUUUUAAAUUCUGUGUCUCUGUUUGGUGGCAACCCGGGCAGGUCCUCUGGAAAGACAUCCGGAAACUCACAUACUAUAGGAAUUUCUGCCACAGUGAGUGGUCUGAUAGCAUUUGCAGCGUGACGGAUGUCGUCAUUUUUGGGAAGUUGGACUAAGAAAGCUUCUUUACUAUCAGGCUCCCUCAACAUGCCUACCCUUGUUGAGGUAUCUAUUAACACCCCAUUAUUACUCAUCCAGUUCAUUCCCAAGAUAACAUCUAUUCCCAGGCCUGGUAAAAUCACAAGAUUUACUGAAUAGUUACGACCUUCAAUAGCAAUAUGCACAUCCUUCACUAACUGGUUUGUGGAAACUUGAUUCCCAGCGACACUAAUAAAAAAUUUGCCAUUGUCAAGAUCAACUACAUGUUGCCCAUGCCUAGAUGCGAAUGCUUGACUCAUAAAUGAAUGCGAAGCUCCCAAAUCAAACAAGACAACUGCAGGGUGUUGAUUGAGAAGAAACAUACCAGCCGUAACCACUUCACCUUUGGGGAUUUCUUCAAUGGUGGUAUAGUGCACUCAGCCGGUACGGUUAUUAACCCCAGCUGUAGAGUUCCUCUUAGGAUAAGGGCAAUCCCUCACCCAGUGACCAACUUGUUUGCAAUUGAAGUAGGGGCGGUUAUCAGGGGGAGUUUUGGGGCUCCCUUGACCUGUAGCACCCCUAGGAAGAGCAACUGUGAACGACUUUUGAACUCCUGUCUUCACAUUUGACUUCUUCUGCGGUGGCCUAUACCUUGUCACGGCAUUAGGUGGGCGAUAGGCCGGCUUACUUGUCACCGAAGCCUUGGACUGCGAAGCACCUGCUUCAUAGGCUCUCUUGCAAUUCUUGGAGGCAGCAUAUAUAGCAUUGGAGUUCUCGUGGGUCAACGCAUCACUCACAAAAUCAUUGAAGGUGGUACUCUUGUUACCAGCCAUGUUCUUGGAUAGCUUGGGCCCAGUCCUCUCUUGAAACUAGCAAGCUUCUUAGCCUUAGUGUCAACAAACUCAGUAGCAUAGCGAGACAAGUUAUUGAAAGCAUGGAGAUACUCAGUCAAACUUUUAGUGCCCUGAGCUAAGUUCAUGAACUCGGUAUGCUUGAUAGUCAUUAAGCCCUGCAGAAUAUAAGUGUUCCUAAAAGCAAUUUUAAACUGACCCAGGUUACAACAGCAUUGGCAGGCAAGCUGGUCCUAUAAUGGCUCCACCAGACACCUGCUUUGCCUUCUAACUGGUGUGCUGCAUAUUCCGCCUUUAGUUCUUCAAUCAGCCUCAACAAGUGGAACUUCUGCUCAAGAGUAUUGAGCCAUUCAUCAGCUUCCAGAGGUUCAGAGGCCUCCUUGAAAACUGGUGACUUAGGGUCCUGAAAGUCCUUGAAACUGCUAUAUUGAUUCGCUUCUCCGCCCUGAUGGGCAUGGCGACCACCCCGGUUCUACUGUGCCAUCGUCUGCAUAGCUUCAUUGAGCAUCGGCUGGCCCUCGACAAGAGUUGCCAGGAGCUCAGCAGGUGUAGGUGGGGGAGGAGGUGGUGGUGACGGCACCUCAUUAUGGCCGGAUCGAGUGUUGCGAGCCAUAUGCACAAGGCAUACCAAGUGAUCGUUUAGGAUGACAGAAAUAUUGUCAUAAACCUUGAUUGAUGCCAUACAAAAUUUACUGAAAUAAAUCCACAUAUCACAAGGCACAAUAAUCCAUUUACAACAAGUGAAUAUCAUCCAUAAUAUUGGUUACACCCACAAUCACAGGAUUUCACAGGGAUUAAAGACAUCACUGGAAAUUUAUUCAAGCUCAACAUAAGCAUGGAGUAUCUCACAGAAGUGCAUGGGGUUACACAGAGUCAUUGUCACAACUUAAGUCUUACAGGAAGGGCACCAUGGCCAAACACAUAGUCUCAACUGAAAUUUCAGAUUACAUGACCAAUACAUAAAGAGGUGGAAACUGGUACAUAAAUUUGGAGCCCAUAGCUAAACUACAGAUCUUCCUCAGAUUCUUCCUUAUAGACUAUACCAUCAUCCUGAUCCUCCUCACUGGGGUCCUCUUCCUGAUUAACGGGGAUAGGGUGUGGGAUAGGAUUGAUGAUAUUAUUCAGGCGAUGGACAUCUAACUGCAGCUCAGCAAUCCUAUGGAUCAGCCUUCCUCUCUAAUCUCAGCUUGGAAUAAAGGUCUAACUCUAGCAGCCUCUCUAUUUUCAGCCAAGCGUAUAGCCUCAUCUCGCUCUCUAGUCAUUUGCAUCAUGUGUGCUUGUGCCUCAUUGCGCUCUCUAACUAUAUUUUCGACUUGGUUGUGGCGGGCUUGCAAAGCGGUAUGUUAGUUUUGAAUUUCAGCUUGUGCAUCACUAAAGGCUUUGCGGUGCUUGUGCACGCGCUUGCACAGCUUGCGCUGCCCAACUUGAGCUUGUUGGAGCGCUAGCAUGGCUACUAUGUAGGUAUCUUGGUGUACAUAGUACAGCUUAAGUACCGCCAGCAUGGCACUCGUAGCAGGGCUAGAGCUAUAUCCUAGUAUGAUUUCUCUCAUCUCCAGGUCAGUUCCUAUCUAGGACACAAAGGUAUCAGUUACACUCACUCUAGGAAAGGAUCCAACUGGGCCAUUGACUAGCUCAUCACCAUAGUCUUGGCAUAUUUCUAACAGCACUUCUAAGGCUGCUACUUGAGCACCCUCCCAAGGAGUUUGACCAUCGGACUCUACUAUCCAACCUAGCCAUUGUGGGUUGUUUGGACAAGGAGGAACUGUAAUUUGGACAUCUACCAAAGGUAAAGAUCAUGCAUGCUCGGCCUCUGUCCAAGUGUACUGAGGUGGUUCCUCAUAUCCCACUGAACUCAGCACCCUCCACAACAAGGUAGGAGUGCCAAACAUGUCCAAAAAAGUCUCACUUGCAUGUGGGGCUGCCAUCUGUAGGAAAGACCACAACUUGAGUAAGGAAGAUUAAUUACAAGAGAAGGUAAUUAGGUAUAGUUUUGGAAUUACAAGAAUUAAGUAGAGCAUAAGGAAUGCAUGAAUGAUUCAUGAUGCAUGCAUGUUCCAUACGACCUUGCCAUUCCUAGGAAGAAAUUUCUAGCGGUAUAGUUGGUGGCAUACAUACGCGCUCUCUUUAUGCGUAACUACACGGUCUACACGUUUCAUUGUUGGUGUACCUGCAGAAAAUUUCAUUUCAGCCCGACCCCACAAGAGUAUAUGUGCAGAAAUGAAAGUCUAAUCAUGUACAUUCAAGCUAGGUGCUUCGAUAUAUUUCCCUGAACAUAUAUCGCAGCACACUACCCAUUUUGAGAACACCCACCUAUACAUCAAACAUGUAUACGUGGCUGCACCUACUACCCACAAUUAAGUACCUUCAUAUAUACUUGUGUGCAACAUGUAAAUAUUCUAGUAACCACAGCUAACACUCCCCUAGAUCGACGGUUGGACGGUCAUGCUCUCACAGCUCACACUUACUGUAGCAUAGAGGCAUAUAGAUCCAUACAUUACCACUCAAGCAAGUGGCAUCCAUACAAUUUCACGCCGCAUGGACGACGAAAGAAAAACAUUGCUUACCAUGACGUAGAGGUAUAUGAUCCAUUCAUUACCACUUAAGUAAGUGGCAUCCAUAUUAUUACACGCCAUAUGGACGCCGAAAGGAAAAACCCCCUUGUUAGUAGUAUUAAGCCACCUAGAAGUCCUUAACGGGCCUAAAGGGUAUGACCACUGGCAUGGUAUAUUUGUUCAAUCAUUUUAAAACAGCCCUAUGUAUAUUCUAAUUUGCCAAUUAGUUUGGGAAAAGCAAAUUCAUUUAUUUUUAAAUACAUCUAUGAUGGUUAACAGAACCGUCUAAUUUAUAAGAAUUCAAGUGAAUUAACGACCAUAAAAGCAGUCAAGCCAAUGGACUUGAACCCAUAUAAACCCGGUAGUCUGACGAAAUCUCAAGAUCUUGAUUCAACCAAUAUACAACCAAGACCGUACAUGAUCAAGCAUCUCCAUCACAGAUUACAUACAUUCAUCACACAACAUAGUUUUUACAACACAUCGGAGUUCAAAUAAAUUUAUUACAACAUAGUUCAGUAGCGGAAGCAAAGUAGUUUUGAACAACACACACUUAGUUUAAUUACAUGCCAGUUCCAUGAUCAUCCCAACAAAAGCAUAACCGAAGAUAAUAGAAGUGAUCUUGCCCGAGAUCUACUCAUCAUCCGCAGCCGGAUGAUGACAGUUAGCACAGUAGCCGUGAUACACGACAUCAUCUGCAACAAGGAUAAAUAAAACCAUGAGUACGAGAAUGUACUCAGAUAGACUUACCCGUCAUAAACCAGAAAUAAAGUGACACCAAGGAGUAUGCAAGGCUAACUUUGUGGACUAGUUUGACACACAUUUUUGCAUAAAAAGCUUUUGUUUUAAGUAACACAUAUAUACAUUUUCAGCAGCAGGUUUAUUACUUAAACAGCUAUCCACUAGGUUAGCACCUGAGCUAAGCAUACACUUGAUUAUUAAGCAUCACAAUAAUAACCAUAUCCGGAUUAUCACAUAGCCAUCAUCAUUCUCAUCAUAACCUUUAAGUACCUUUAGUGAAUUCUACGUUGCCGCUGCUCGAGUCAAGUUCUCACUAUCCGGGAGAGACGGCGAUUCGAAUCGAUUCCUAUCCAGCUGGAGGGGUAUUCGUAGCACUCACCCAAGCAUAUCUCACGAGGGCAGCUCGGAUCACCUUUAGCACAACUCCGGACCAAUUCUCGGGUCCGUAUAGCGCCGCACCCCUAGGGACCGCCAAUCUGCUAGGGUCAGGACUCUAUCCUGACACCUCGGUCUUACGCCAUUGACUCCCCGCACAUCCUUGCUACCAACCAGGGUGUGCACUUAAACCGAACGGGGUAUCCAACCGGAGAUGCACUCGUAGGCUUCGCGGUCGGAACGACUUAUCCGGCCAACUAAGUGUUAGGCAUGCGUUCAACAUGACACGAGGACGUACAGCGUAUCGGUCCUUAAGUGACACAGACGGCGAUAGAUUCACACCCAAGACCUCCAUGCCUUGUUGCUACACUAUCGUCAUCCCGCCCGGUCUCAAUUCAUUAUUAGCCCAUGGUUAUUUCCACGAUAGCAAAUAUAACCAACCGUGAUCCAGUAUCCACCUAUCUCUCGCAAGUGACAGGAAAUCACCCGGCUUCUACCGAGCUAAGCAUGGCUAAGCAUAAUUUCGAUCCUGGACCUACUUAGGUAAGUUAUAAGGUGGACAAGGUAGUCAUUAUGCAGCAAGGGUGUCAUAUCAACGCCUAACACUUAAUGCAACAAUACAUAACCAUAGUUAAUUGACAGUUGGACAUGUGUUGGGUAUUUUAAACGCAAACAGAAAAAUCCGCAAGCGCACGGAUACCGAUGUAGCUUUCACCCGGGAGUAUUCCAGAGUAUCGAUUUUCCACAGAGAACGUGAGUGUACUAAUUAAGAUCCAAGAUCGCCCAAGGAUAACUAUAUAAUUAUUUUUGGUGGGAAGAGAGGAAGUUUACUGAGAGUUCUCUAGUUGAUCUAAGAAUCAAGAAUUACUUCAAGAUUAUCUAUAUCGGGACAUCAGAGCACUAACCACAGAAAGAGAUGAGAAGGGGGCUAGGAAGGUCUGACUACGGUCCUACAAACACCGAUCCGAACGAGGUGGAAUACGUCGACCGUUAGGGCUGUCACUACCCUAGGGCUACCACAACAAUCCGUGGGAUUGGGUGCAAUUUCAGGUAAUCGCAAGACUUAACACCACGUCUAAUCUAUUAAUUACUACUCUAGCGUUAUAAAGACUAGAGCACUUGAUGCAAGCGGGAAUCCAAUAAAUAACUAGAACUAGAUCUAGAUGAACUAGAGGUAGAACUAGAAGAACUAGAGGGAUCCUCUCUACUUGGAUGAAGAAUUGAAACCCUAGCUUUGAUUCUGUAGAAGAGGUAUGAUCUCCAGGGGCCAGGGGGGUCUGGUUUUAUAGUCCCUUCAAGUGAAUCUGGGCCGUCGGAUCAAACCGACAUUGAUCGUGUGGUUUUCCUUGAAGUAUUAGGUCGGUGGAGCAUGAUCCCCGAACUUCACCCUGAUUGGUGGAAAGAGGUGGGCGGGCGCCCUUAGGACUAGGGCGGGCGCCCAGUGCCUGAGCCCUCUCGGCCUCCGCUUCGGUCCCGUGGCUUCUGGAGUCUUUCUAGAUGGUAGAUAAUUGUGCGGCACGUUAAUAUCUCUAUGUAAACCCGACGUGUGGGCCUUUCUUCCAUAUUUCCUGAUAACCCCCUGCAGAAAUAGACAAACACCAAAACUUGUGGAAUUCUGUCAGAUAAAACCCUAAGUCUAGGUGUUGGUUGCAUUUGGAUCCUUUUCUAUGAUUAGUUGAUGGUUAAAUGUGAGCAUUAAGGACCGUCAACAAGCUCCCCCAAGCUUAACCUUUGCUCGUCCCUGAGCAAAGAUGAACUCAAGAGUUUCUGUAGUGGUUUCAUAACUUAAAGAUACACAUGCGUUCAAACAAGAUCAAAUCUCUGGGUUAGAGUAAACUGUUAAGACUUAAAACUUACUCAUUUACCUUUCACCAUGGGACUUAUAACCGUCACCUCUGUCUUGAGUAGUUAAAAGAUAGAACAGUCUAGUCAAGCACCAUGUCUCUUGUUCUUCGAUUAACUAUAGCUCUGGAGUUUUUGCAGAUUUUCAAAUAAAACUCAGAGAUUCCUUGUAUGACUCUCUCUAGUCUCUCUUUUGUGGUAUUUCUGGAUCCUUACCAAGGCAUUAAUGGUGUAUGCCUUCUCUCAAAAUAUGUGGUAUUUGUGGUAUGAGGCAUAGUGACAUUGCCUUUUCUCUCACCCUACUCUAACAAGGCUUUUGAUAUCUGGAGCUCAUAGGUGGGAGACAGCUAAUACAUACUUACAAGACAUUUAUUGCAUAGUCAAACCAUGGAUCCAGAAGAACAAGUCAAUAAGUCAAAUCAAGAUGUGCAUGUGUGGCGAAUGAAUGGUGUAUGGUGAUGAUGGUGAUAACAACGGUGAAAGUCUAAUUCUACUUAUGCUCUUUUGAGGGGAUACAUACCUUUCUUGCAUUUGAGGCUUUUUGAGGAGAAUGAGAUGCUCUAUAUUUUCUUUUUCUUUUCUCUCAGGUGGGUAUCUUGUACCCCUAAUUCUACUAUCGGACACAUGUCCAUUUUUACCUCUCGUCUCACCUUUUCUUUUCUUUCGAGGUUCCGGGCACUUGCCCCUUUUUAUUUCCUCGUAUCUCUUUUUUUUUCUCUUUUUUUCAUUUUUUUUCUCUUUUUUUUAUUAGAGCACUCAUCUCAUGAGAUAAUAUAGCAAAUGGUAGUAACAAGAUAACUUGAGCAUUUAUUUCAUAGGGGAAAAAUAGAAAUAUUUUUGGCUAUUCUCUCCCAGAUUAGGAGUAGAAUAUUUUUGGGUGGUUCUGGAGAUGGAAAUGGAUGGAUAUAUGUGGAUGCGUACUUCCAGAGUGGGAGCAGCAUGUAUGAGUGAACGUGCAAGUGAAUCUUGAUUUUAACCACAUGACAAGCUCCUAAGGGUCUACACAGCUUGACCACACUCAAUGCUCAAAAGUAGUAAAGUAAAUGUGUGGUUCAUAGUCUAGCAAGCAUGUAUAUAUGGCUGUGGUAGGAAUUUAAACUCUCAUCAUACAGGAACUCAUGAUGCAACAUUUUAAAGAUUUUCAAAGAUAAAAUUCUCCAGAAUUCUAGCAUCUCUAGGAACAAAUAAACAGCAGCUCAACCUUCCCAUAUCAUAUCCGUUAACGACUUAGACUUCAGAUCAAGUACUCUUCCCACAAGUUCAGGUUUAGAGCAAAUCUUAAUUAAUAACAGUCAUGCCUAAACUUGAGAGAGAUUUCAAUUUUGAGAACUAAUUAUGGUAGAGCAACUAUUCAUCAUUUCCAUGUGAGAGCUUAUCAUGAGGGUUCAUAGCAAAUUUUAUUUAUUUAUUUAUUUAGCAAACUAAGCAAAGAUAUAUAUAUAAGCACAAAAUCUUUAUUUGGGUUUUUACGAUUAUGCAUCUUUUUAUUAUUUGAGUAAAAUAUAAACGUGAGUAGAAUACUUAGCUGGAUAAAUGGAGGUGCUCUCCCCCAAGCUGGAUUUUGACGUAAUUCCUUCUGAUGUAGCUAGCAGGUGGCGAAGGUAUAUUUGAAUGUCAGCAGCACCCUGACGGCGACUAGGAUGUCCUCCGUCUGCUAGUCUUCUUUGAUCCUUGAAUUCUGUGGAGCUCAAAUAGACAACAAAGCUUGUGGAACUAGUUAAGUGUUAGCAUAAAUAUCUAGCCUUUAUCAUGUUGAGUCUCCUCAAUAAAUAUUACACUUUUUAGUGGGAUCAUAAAUCUAUUUUUAUAAUUUUAUUUUUAUAGGACAGGAAUAUAUUUAUUUCAUUUUAAUGCCACCACAGUGAAUGUACUUAUGGGUUUUAUGCCAUGAGCAUACUCACAUGGGGCUUACUAUUUUUUAACAUUUUUAUUUUUCUUUUCGAGAUGAUAUGAACCUGAUUAACUAAGCAAACUAUUUUAAGAUAAUUGAAAAGAAAAGGAUAACUACCAAGUUUACCUCUUGGCAAGACGUUCGGUGUUUUUAAGUCCUCCGAACGGGAUUCUCCGUUUUCUCAGUCGUCUUGGGAUUCGCUGGAUGGCGUAGUCGGUGGUUCCGGCGGCGCCUGCUCUUCGUGUAUAACUAUCUUCUUUCUGCACACCUGACUCGGUGCUACGGUCUCCUCAGGACAGUUCUGUUCAAGCUGUAUGUCUUCAGACCUUACGACUUCUCCUUCAUAGUCUGCCCAUCCGUCCUUGAUGAUUUGCCUCCUCUAGUUGCGGUUGCGUCGUAUUCUUCUUGCCCUGACCUGCUUAGAGUCUUCAACUAUAUAGUUAGGGUCAGUAAAAUAGCAGCGUACCUUCUCAGAGGGGAAGUGCAUGUGGACUUCUCCGAUUCCAAUGUAGAUGAUUGCUUUAGCGGUGCUGAGGAACGGUCUCCUAAGGAUGAUGGAUGGAUCGUACUUGUCUUCUCCCAUGUCAAUAACCUUAAAAUCAUCUGGAGCUGAAUGUAUGUCGGUUUUAGGGGCAUGGUUCCAUGCAGGAGAUGAUAAGUGACUACGGCCAUUAUGUUGACGUCAGAUCCGGUGUCGUAGAGUGUCUUCUGAAAAUAAUAUCCGUUGAUUGUGCACUUGAUGAUUGGGACACCAGGGUCGUCCUUCUUGAUCAAGAAAGAUGACUUGAGUUGACGAUCUUGACCUCCUUGAGCUGCAGUGACCAUCCUAGCUGACUCGGUACACAUUUGCUUGUUCCUGUUCCUCAUGUUGGUCCUUCCUUGGUUCAUGUCAGGAUUGCUCUAAGAUUUGUGUAGUCUUGUUCUUAAAGGAAAACGUCUCCGUCCUUCCCAUGAUGUAGAAACUGAUCUUGGCAGCACUAGCGUAGAUGAUAGCUCCCGAGGUGUUCAGGAAUGGCCUCCCUAGGAUGAUGGGUGCCCUCUCAUCAGUAUCAGUCUCUAUCACCACGAAGUCUGCUGGAGCGUAUAAGGUACCAACUCGGACGUAGAGGUUCUUCAAUAUUCCCUUUGGGAAACUUAGUGUCUGAUCUGCAAGCUGCAAACACAUGGUUGUUUCUAGGAAAGGAUGUGUAAAGAAUUUUUCAUAGAGUACCCGGAGCAUAAUGUUGACGCUGGAGCCAAAGUCGCAGAGUGCUUCUAGGAAGUCCACCAUGCCGAUGGAGAUCGGGAUGAUGGUGCGUCAUGGAUCGCCUCUCUUGACCGGCAGAAGGUCAGUAAUUACUUCCACAACGGGGUUACUCCAGUAGUUACAUCCUCAAGCAUUUUAGGGCAGUGAUUGCCUGAGUGUCCAGUAUCUCCAGUGUGUUUGUGGUUCUUCACUUGGUGGAGUCUGGGAGUUGUAAAAGUCCUUCAUAUUUUGCUCAAAGUGUACCUGCUCAUAGAGACAAGGCAGAGAUCAAGUGCAUGAGCCCUGUUGGUGGAAAACACCAACAGAGCCAAAAGUGUAUUUGUUCUCUCUAAUCUUAAGCAUAGUGAGCAAGACAAAGUUAAUGGAUAAUAAGAUCAUGAGUGUAACAUUUAAAACAUUUGUCAGAUCAUAUCGCUCAACCUAAUGGAAAGAUAAUCUAUCUAUAUAUAUGUUUUGUUUAUAUCUUCCAAAGAUUGAGUGUGCAACAUUUUAGCUAUAUGAUUAGGAGUGUGGAAUCACAAAGGUGGAAGGACUAAACAUGUUGAAUCAAUUGGUUUGGUUAAUCUAGAGUUGUAGAUCAUACAUGUUUGUCUCUUUUAUUCAUGUGAAUGCCAGAAAUAAGGAGAAGCUUAUAAAAGUGAUAGUCAAGUACCUUAAGAUGUUACCUUACUUGAAGAGUGAUGGUACAGUAUCACCUUGUGGAAGCUUUCCUCUCUUAGCGGUUGUGCAUCGUGUUUGUGGCACCCUCCAUGAAUCAUCUCUUGUGAGCUAUGCCUUCCUUGUGUAAAUUGUUAAACUUUAUGUGUCUCUCUCUUUGUCUCCAAUGUGAGUUUAUCUCAGGACUUCCCAGGUCGAUAUUGAAAGUUUUCCUGCAGGGGUUAAUCCAACAAAAUAUC
RNAcentral lists this long non-coding RNA (48675 nucleotides) under Sorghum bicolor (sorghum). RNAcentral describes it as "long non-coding RNA (SBIC_LNC012726)". Lineage: Eukaryota; Viridiplantae; Streptophyta; Magnoliopsida; Poales; Poaceae. The record is from RNAcentral.